RNAcentral lists this long non-coding RNA (62299 nucleotides) under Theobroma cacao (cacao). Its description in RNAcentral is "long non-coding RNA (TCAC_LNC002410)". Lineage: Eukaryota; Viridiplantae; Streptophyta; Magnoliopsida; Malvales; Malvaceae. The record is from RNAcentral.
UUCUCUUAUAAACAGAAAUUUUGGGUUAUGCGUAAAUACUUUUUGUAACGUAAAAACAAAAUAAAUUCAUUCAUAUUGUAGAACAAUAAGCUAUUAAAUUUACAAUAUCAAGUGGGCCCACAAUAACUAGAAUUAAAGAAGCUGUGAACCUACAGUUUGGAAGAUGCAAUCCAAUGGAAAUCCCCGAUGGAACCAGCUAUCUACAGACUACUUUGUUCCUAGAAUGGGUGGAAAUGAGGGUGGUGAGAUUAUAAAAUUCCAGUGAGUAAACAAACACCAUUUAAAUAAGCUAAAGCCGAGUAAAAGGAGACAAUUAAAAUAUCCCAUCAUUUUAAGUAUUUCACAAUUUGAAAAUUCAUCCCAACCCAUACAAACGAUUGUAUUUCAUUUAAUUUCUCAUUAGGGCUUAUGACUUUUAUAAACAGUUGGCUCAUGCCAUCAAAUAUACUCGAUGACACCUUGAUUAGAGGCGUACACUCGAGCCCGCCAAGGCUAUUAAAAUUUUGUAUACUCGUAAAACAUAUUUUUAGUUUGAAAAACACAGCCAUUCCUUGGCGUUAGCAGAGUUCAUCAUCACGAGGUGGUUCGGCAUGACGUGAACUCUGUCCAUACCUCAGGAGAUACCCUACGCGCCUCUCCGAUCGAAGUACAUAUAUAUAUAUAUAUCUAGAUUUCGUGCCCCUUUAAUAGGCUGAUCCACAGAAUCCGCCUACUGCAGCAAGCUAAACCCACCAUACAAUAAAAUUUUGACAGCAUGACAGGGCUAAUAUUUACUACCCAGCUUGCAAGGGUAAAAUAAAAUAAUUCGUAUAAUUCAUAAAACACAGCCCAACCAGUCAUGCCAACACAAUAACAAUAUAACAUAAGCCAUCAAUUUCUAAUCAUAAAUUUGCAACAUACUAGUGGUCUCCAAUUACUCUAUUUUCCAAAUCGUUAUUUCGUUUCAAGACAAUUUAUGAAGUCUUUUCAUUUAAACACAUUUUGUUUACAAAACAUAAAAAUUUACCAUUUUAACUCAUUUUCAUAAAAUUCACCAAAACCGAAUAAAAACAUACUUUAGAUAAUUAAAAAGAUGGUAAGGUUACUCACAAUGUCUAGAGUGGAGAUUUUCGAAAUACUCAGACUACUGGUCCUCGGAUGCAAUUCCCUUGCCUUUAUCGGAGGACUCACCAACUUGACACAGUACAAAAUCGAGAAAUUCACCACAUUGGUACUAAAUUGAAAUUAAACUAAUUUAGACUAGUAAUGCGUGAUAUGGAAUGCAAAAGGUCUAAAUUUUGCCUAAACACCGUAUUGACCUAUUUUGGUCUUUUACCCGAUAAAUUGAAAUGCGCAUCCUAUUUAGCUCCAAUUGAUCCCAUUUCUUUUUCUAAUGCUUCAAAUCACCAAUGUCCAGCCAAAUAACCCAAAAAUCAGCAAAGCCACAUUCAUAUUCCUUCUUGGAAAAAUUCGGCCAAAAUGGUGCAUCAUUGUCACAAUUUUUCCUACUUGAUUUUCUUUCCAUAAUUCAUUAAUUUCCAUAUCAAAAACCAUGAUUUCAUAAUCAAAUAACCUAAAAUAACAUCACAUUCUUCCUCACCAUUGACUUGAAAAUUCAGCUAAGGCUAGGUAAUGGGAAAAAUGAAUGUUUUUCUACAUAUUUUGUUUACUAACAUGCUAAACUAACACUAAACACUAACAUAUAUCAAAAUCAAAUCAAUCCAACAAUUUUCUCUCUCUAGACCCAUAUGACCAGCCAUGAAAACAUGCAAUUUAAUCAUGAAAAAUAAGGAGAAAUGCUUGGGAAUAAGAAAACUCAAGCUUAAUAGAAAAAAUCUUACCUUUUUCACUUAAUUUCCUUGAAAAUUCAUACUUUUUCUUUGAUUUUCUCUCUCUAGGGUUUGGUUUUUGUUUUCUCUCUCUUCUUGCUGGUUUGGCCGACCAUGGGUGGAAGAUGGGCUGGUUUUUGUGCCUUUUAAAAAGGAAAAUUAAUAAAUUAAUAAGGCAUGACACGUGGCAUCAUGUCAUUAGCCCGUUUUUAAUUUCUUAACUAUUAAGUUUUCUCUCUCUACCACUUAAAUUCCUUCAAUUAUCCAUGAUAAUAUUGGAUAAAAUCCAUGUGCUGGAUAAGUGUCGGGUGCUUAAAAUUACAAUUUUGCCCCUAAGGUGGCAAAAUUACCAUUUUACCCUUAUGCUCCAAAAAUACCAAGAUUAUUAUUUUUUUUUCACUUAUCAACCUCAAAUUAUACUCCAAUGAGUCAAAUGUGAUCAAUCUUGAUCAAAAACUUCUUCCAGUAUUUCAAUUUUAUCCUCAAGUGGCAAAAUUACCAUUUUACCCCUAAGUAGUGAAAAUUUUGAUUUGACUCCAAAUUGAUCCUCGAACUCUAAAUCACCAUAUUAAACCAUUCUGGGACUUUAAUAUUCUUAAUUUCAUCUUAAAUUCUCUAUUUGAUCUAGUUCGAGGCUUAAAUCAACUUUGUUGUACCUCUAGGUACAAUAUCGGCUUUUGUCAAUUUUUCGAGACUCUCCUAGCAUGCAAACAUGCUAUCCACCACAUGUAUGUCAUGAUAAUUAUUUUAUAGAGUUAGGCUUGACAUCUUCUCCCCCACUUGGAUCAACCAUAAGAUCCUUCUUCAUGACUGAUUUCGAUAUCCUGCUAAAUAUUAAUAUUUUAAUAUUAUUUUAUUAAUAAAAUAUUAUUCUAUUCUAAAAAUUUUAUCUUGUCUCCUUGGUUGCCAAAGUUCCUUAUUAUACCUCAAUUGACCUCCGAAUCACCCUUUUAUCUCUCAAAUUCUCCUCCGAUAAAAUAUUAUUAUUUUAUUAUUAUUUACUCGCGUGCGAAAUAUUUUGUUAUAAAUUAUUCCUUUCAUCUUUUAUGACUUUUAAACAUUUUAAUUGACCUCAAUUUGCAUCCGAUCAACUUUAUUAGUCACUAUUUCAAAGUAUGGGGCAUUUCAACUAGGAUGUCCAUAUACAUAGGGUAAUAGAUUAUGAGAUAUGGGAUGUCAUUACCGAUGGUCCUUUCAUUCCAAUGAUUACAAAUUCGGUAAAUGGUGAGACAACUCCCAAACAUAGAAGUAAGUGGACAGAAGUUGAAAUAAAGAGAGUACAAAUCAACUUUAAGGCUAUGAAAACCUUUAUUUGUGCACUUAAUUAUAGAGCAUAUGAUAAAGUGUUCAUGUGCAAAAGUGCCAAGGAAAUUUGACAAAAAUUAGAAGAGUUAUAUGAAGAAUCAAAGAAAGCUAUGGUGGCUGCAACAUGGUCUGACAGUAAUGCUUCAAGUUCUGAUGCUGAAGAAGAUAAAGUGGAAGAAAGAGCAAACUUAUGUUUAAUGGCAAAAGAUGAUGAAUCCGAGGUAUCUUCUACUCCUUGUAAUAUUUCAAUUGAUGAACUACAAGAGGAGUAUGAAUGUCUUUAUGAUGAAUUUGAGAAACUUGCAUCAAAAUAUAAAGCUUUGAAAAGAAAAACUGCAUCUCUUGAGAUUAACUUGCAAAAGAUAAGACAUGAUUUCAAUUCUGUUUUUGAACAAAGAAAUUUUCUGUAAAUUAAAUUAGAACAUUCAAAAAUAGCUUUGAAACUCUAAAAUUGGAAUUGAAAAACAGAACAGAAGCUUUGCAAAAAGCAAUUGAUGAAAAUGUUGUUCUUAAGAGUUUGAGAAAAGAAUCAUCAAGAAAGAACACAAAUUUUAGAAGAAAUGCUAAUGAUUUCUCUCAUAGAUGCUAUAUAUGUGAUAGAAUUGGUCAUUUAUUUUAUGACUAUCGUAAAAAAAGAAGUAUGCAGAAAAUAAGAAAAAUUUGGGUUCCAAAAGGAUUUUAUGUUGCAACUAACCUUUAAGGACCCAUCAAGGUAUGGGUACUUGUCAAGAAAAACUGAAAAUUUGUUUUGUAGGUUGAGCUGCACUUAAAGGAGACAUGUUCAAGAGCUCAACUCAAGAAGAAGCAGCCUUGGUAUAUGGACAGUGGCUGCUUAAGGCACAUGACAAGAGAUGAAAUGCUAUUUGCUAAGCUGGACAAAAGAAAGGGACGAACCGUAUCCUUUGGUGAUGAUUCAAAAGGUAGAAUCCAUGGUAUAGGAAUGGUUGGUGAGAACUCCCAAACUCAAAUCAGUCAUGUGUUAUUGGUUAAAGGCUUGAAACAUAAUUUAUUGAGCAUCAGUCAUUUUUGUGAUAAAGGAUUUAAAAUAUGCAUUGAUUCAAAUAAGUGUGAAGUGAUAGAUAUAAGCACUAAUAAAGUCUCAUUUAUAGGAAGAAGAUUAAAGAAUAUGUAUGUUGUAUUUUUUGAAGAUUUUGAAAUUAAUUGUGAAAUGUGUUUAGUGGCAAAUGCUGAAAAUGAUAGCUGGCUAUGGCAUAGGAGAUUAGGACAUGUGAGUAUGCAUACUAUGUCAAAAUUAAUUAAGAAAAAUUUAGUUAUUGGACUGCCGGAUAUAAAAUUUGAAAAUGAUAAAAUAUGUGAUGCUUGCCAACUAGGAAAACAAGUUAGAACAUCCUUUAAGACUAAAAAGAUUGUGUCAACAACUAUACCUCUUGAAUUACUGCACAUUGAUCUAUGUGGUCCUAUAAGUACAACUAGUGUAGGAGGAAAAGCUUAUGGCUUUGUAAUAGUUGAUGAUUACUCUAGAUACACUUAGGUUUAUUUCCUUGCUCAUAAGAAUGAUGCUUUACCAGCAUUCAUAAGUCAUUGUAGGAAGGUUGAAAAUGAAAAAGGACUAGCUAUAGUUAGUAUUAGGAGUGAUCAUGGAGGUGAAUUUGAAAGAGAUGAAUUUGAGAAUUUUUGUAACGAAAAGGGGUUGGAUCAUAAUUUUUCUGCAUCUAGAGCACCCCAGCAAAAUGGUGUUAUAGAGAGGAAAAACCGAACCUUAAAAGAAAUAGCUAGAACUAUGCUAUGUGAGAAUAACUUACCAAAAUAUUUUUGGGCUAAGGUAGUGAACACAAUAGCAUAUAUACUUAAUAGAGUCAUGAUAUCAAAGACUCCAUAGGAACUUUACAAGGGUAGGAAACCAAAUAUUUCACACCUUAGGAGUUUUGGUUGUAAAUGUUUUGUGUUAAAUAAUGGAAAACAGUCCUUAGGUAAGUUUGAUGCAAAGAGUGAUGAGGUAAUAUUUUUAGGAUAUGCAUUAAACUCAAAGGCUUAUAGAGUUUUCAAUAAAAGAACUUUAAUUGUUGAAGAAUCAAUCCACGUAGUUUUUGAUGAGUCCAAUGCCUUACAAAAGGAAAUUCAUGUUGAUGAUGAUGAUGUAGAGAUCCUAGAAAAGCAAAUGGAAGAAAUGAGCUUAGAGAACAAUAAGAAUAAUGAAGAAAGCUCACCUAGAAGAGAAAAUGAAACUCCACCUCUAGAAAAUUUGUAAAGAACAGAAAUUUAGCAUAAUGAUCUUCCAAAGAAUUGGAGAUAUGCAAAAGACCAUCCACAACAACAAAUCAUAGGUGACAUUUCUCAAGGUGUUAAAACUAAGAGAGCAACAAGAGAAACUUGUGAGUUUUCAGCUUUCAUAUAUCAAAUUGAGCCUAAAACAUUUGAGAAAGUAGAAAAGAGGAAAGCUGGAUAUUUGCCAUGCAAGAGGAACAUGAUCAAUUCAAAAGAAACCACAUAUGGUCACUAGUCUCUAGGCCUAUGAAUCACCCUAUUGUUGGAACAAAAUGGGUGUUUAGAAAUAAGGUAGAUGAGCAAGGAAAUGUAGUUAGAAAUAAAGCUAGGCCAGUAGCUCAAGGAUACAACCAAGAGGAAGGAAUUGCCUAUGAUGAAACCUUUGCACUGGUUGCUAGGAUUAAAGCCAUAAGGUUGUUGCUUGCUUUUGCAUGCUUUAUGAAUUUUAAAUUGUACCGAAUGGAUGUAAAAAGUGCAUUUUGAAAUGGAUUCAUUCAAGAGGAAGUGUAUUGUCUUGCCUUACCUUAUAAAGUACUUUCCAUGUCCUUCAUGUGAUUGACAAUAUGCUUGCAUACUUGGAAAGCCUCGAAAAAUCGUCAAAAGUCGAUAUUGUACCAAAUGGUACUAUUAAGUUGAAUUAAGCCUCGAACUAGUCUAAAUAGAGAUCUUAAGAUGAAAUUAAGAAUUUUAAAACCCCAGAUGACUUAAAAUGAUGAUUUAUAGUUCGAGGGUUGAAUUAGAGUCAAUUUGGAAUUUUCAUGUUCUAGGGGUAAAAUGGUAAUUUUAUCACUCAAGGACAAAAUGGGAAUUUUUAGAAAAGAUUUUGAUCACAUUUGACUCAUUGGAGUAUGAUUUGAGUUUGAGAGGUGAAAAGUUAUAAUUUCGGCAUUUUUUCGAGCAUAGGGGCAAAAUAGUCAUUUUACCGCCUAAGGGCAAAAUAGUAAUUUUACACCACCUAGCACUUGUCCAGCACAUGGAUUUUACCCAAUAUUAUCAUGGAUAAUUGAGGAAAUUUAAGUGGUGGAGAGAGAUUGCUUAAUGGCUAAGUAUGACACAUGGACCAAUGAAAUGGUGACAUGUGUCAAAAUCUCAUCCAUUUAUUAUUUUCCUUAUAAAUUAGCACAAAAUCAGCCCAUUUCUCACCCAUAUGGCCAGCCAAAGCAUGAAGUGAAGAGGAAAGGAAAGACCACAAACCCUAUGUGGGAAAAUUGAAGAAAAGUGUGGGAUUUCAAGGGAUUAAGCUAAUAAAGGUAAAAUUUUGUGAUUUUAUCUUGUGAUUUACAUUACCCAUGCUUUCUUUUUCAUUUUCCAUGCUUAGAACUCAAGUUUACAUGAUGAACCCAUGUUGGCUGAAUUUGAGAGGAGAGGUUUUGAGCAUUGAUUUUGCUAGAUUUCAAGCUAAUUAAGUGUUUUUGGUUGUUUGGUAAUGAAAAGUAUGAAAAUCUAGCAAGGAAUCACUUUGUUCUUCACAAACUCACAAGAGGCCAAAUUUUCUAGGGAGCAUAUUGAGGCUGAAAUUGAUGAUAUUUCACGAUAUUUUGGUGGUAUUUAAUGAUUGGUGAGGCUAGAAAUUUAAUGGGAAAUUUUGGCAUGAAAAUCUGAAUUUUUACCUAAUGUAUAGACAUGUGCGAUUUAUGGUUCGGACUAAUAAAUUGAAUCAUAUUCAUAGUCAUUGAGGUAUUUUAAGUAUAAUUGGAGUGUAGAAAGUGAAAGAAAUCGAUUUGGAGUUAAAUUGGAGGUUUUAGCCAAUUACAUUGAGAAUAGUGCGAAUUAGGUCGAAUACCGUAUUUAAACAGCUAUUCGGACAUUUUGCAUCACAUUUCGUGCAUUCAUAUAAAGAUAUAGAGCCUGAAAUAGUUUAUGAUAAAUUGACACAAUUUAUUGAAAUUCGUGUCACGUAUGAUAAAUAGGUGGUGAGCCCUCUAAUAAAGGUAAAGAGAUUGUGCCCGAAGAUCGGGAAUAGAAGUAUAUCGAACUCCUAGUACUGUGAGUAAACUUACUAUCGUCUUAAUUAUCUAAAGUAUGUUUUAUCCGAUUUUGUGACUUUUAUGGAAAAUGAAUUAAAUGAUUAAUUUUUCGAUUUUAUAAACAAAAUGUGAUUUAAUGAAAUGAUUUCAUAAAAUUGUUUUAAAAUUGAAUGAUGGUUUGAAAAUAGAGUAAUUGGAGACUGUUUUCAUGUGUUGUAAAUUCAUGGCUUGAAUCAAAUGGCUUAUGACAAUAUUUGCAUGAAUGGCUGAAUUGGUAUUUGUGUUGAAAUAUAUAUGAAUUAUGUAUUUAGCCUUGAAAGGUUGUGAAUUACAAUAAUUGUCAUAUCAUGUUAUUGAAUUUUAUUGAUUGGUGAGAUAAUUAUUAGCUUACUGCAGUGAGCGAGUUUCGUGGACCAGUCUAUUAGAGGGGCACGAUAACCUCGUUAUAUCUUACCUUAGUAUGAGAGGCACGGGUGGUUAACUCCUGAGGUUAACACUUUUAGAGUUCACUUCACGUCAAACCACCACUUGAGUGGGAACUCAGCCAAUGCCAAGGAACGGCUAUGUUUUCAAAAUAAAAACAUGAUUUAUGCGUACAUAACUUUUUAACAGCCUUGGCAGACUCGGUUUGGGAUAGCCGUCGGCCAAGGUAUCCCUAAUGACUGAUUAUGAUAAUGAUUUUGGCACAAGCCAAAGUUUUAAGAAAUUCAUAAGCCAUGUUAAUUAGUCGAUUUAUAUGAAUUGAUUUUAUUUGGUUGAAACAAGUUGAAAGGUGAUGAAUUUUAGUAUGUUAAACUAUUUUAUCUGUCUCAAUUUACUCGACUUUAGAUGGUUUAGAUGGUAUCUGUUUACUCAUUGGGAUUUUAUAAUCUCACCACCCUUCUUUUCAACCAUUUCAGGCCCGAGGUAGCCUGUGGAUAGCAGAAAUUUUCAAGGAUUAUAGUCGGCUUUACUACUCCAAAAACUGUGGGUUUACUGCCUUUGUGCAUUUUUGUUCCUUGUGGGCCCACGAGUCACUGUAAAGUAAAUUUCAUAUCCCGGUUAUCUGUAUUAUAGUAUGUAUGAAUUUAUUUAUCUUUUACAUUACAAAAAUAAUUUACCGAUGACUCUAUAAAUAUUGUUUUAAAGAAAUUAAAAUAUUUUAUUGAAUAUUUUUAUUUUAUUCAAAUAGUUGCAAUAUCAUUUUUAAUAAAUGUUUUAGACACCCAAAUUUAUUUUAAAUCAUGAAAUAUGUGUUUUCCACUCAUCUACUACAUCUUUAGUCGGGUUUGGAAAAUUUCAAGGAAAAAUGAUGAAAACGCCCCUGUGAGGCGAAAAUUAUUUUUUCACGGUUUUGAAAGGGAAAAAGCUUAAAAUUCUUUAAAAAUGAGGUUUGGCGAUGAUUACUCAUAAGGGAGAUGAAAAAAUAGUACUAAAGCUUUGCGGGGUUUCGGUUGGCACUCCCGGUAACGAAUAUCUACCGGGACGUCGCGGCAGUUGUCACGGGCUUGAGAGGAGUACCGGGUCGUGAUACUCUGCUUGCUAAUAUACUAUCUAUUCAAUUCGUAUACUUGCGUAGUGGAAUUUUAACUGACAAUAGUUUUAAUGAAGUGCUUGAAUUUAAAGUAGUUUUGUCAGAUUAUUUUGAGAAGAUGAAACUGAAAUAUUUUAGUACUUUUAAGAAUCGAUCUUAUAGUGCUAGCUUGGUUAAAUAAUUUUGCUCAAGCAUAGUAGUUGGCAAGGAUGAACUAGAGGAGCUUAAUGAUUAUCUUGAUGAUGGCUUGAAUGUGUUUUUAAAUGGAAAGGAAUUUACUGUGACUGUUACUGAAUUAGGUAGUUUGCUUAAAAUUGAAAGUGAAAAAUGUGAGUUUGAGUUUCUAGAAAACUAUGAUCUCUCAUCCUUAUGGGAAGUGAUUAUAAGAAAGAAAGAGAAAUAUUCUUCUAAGAGUAAUGCUGGUUUGAUCACUAGUCCACAAAUUAGAAUAUUGCAUUACUUUAUUGCUGUUAAUGUUCAUGGAAGAGGAGGAAGUUUUAGCUAUAUCAGUCUUCAGGAUCUAUGGCUAAUGGAAUAUGCCUUCAAUGGCAGUCCAUUGAACCUAGGAAGAUUUAUGAUUGAGAGAAUGAAAGGAGCCUGUUGACUAGAAAAGAUUAAUCUGCCAUAUGGGAAUAUCAUUACUGCACUAGUCCAGAAAAAGGGGAUUUGGAGUUCAAGAUAUGCAUUGGAUCAGGUAGAGAGCAGGGAUCAAUUGAUCUACCUCGAGAGCUUACCUAAGAUGGGAUACAAACUUGAAGGAGAAAAAUAUGUUAAAACUCCCAAAGUAACUCUUGAAGAAGAGUUUUCACUCCUAGCUCAACCAGAGGCAACACCAUCUCAAUUCUCAAAUGAAGUGAUCUUCAACUUGCUUAUGAGAAUUGAUGGAAAGCUCACAGACUAAGGGGCAAAAUUCAAAAAUUGAAGAAAGGUUAAUAGAAAUGGAAAGCAAAAUGAAAGGAAAAGGAAAAAUGACAUCUGAACUUGCAGUUGCAGAUACCUCUGCAACACCAAGCAUCGCACUAGCAGAACAAGGUGCUGAGGGUUCAACUUUCCAAGUAUAAGGGUUUACUUUUCUUGCUACAAGCCCUGUCCUUCAGGCUGAAGGUUUUGCUUCUAAGACUACAAGUCCUGUCCUUCAAACUAAGGACUCUCAACCAGGGAAUGAUCAACUAGAAAAACUCUCUUCACCUGAACCACAAAACAAAGAUGAAUCAGAACAAGGAACAAGUACUUGGUACAUUGGAUGAGAAUGUUCCUUCAUAACCUCAGAAACAGUAACCCUCCCCUCUAAAUUUAGAAGAGGUAUCCAUUAUGGAUGUUUUCCACCAAAUGGUUAGGGAAGAGCAAAUAGAAAAGGAAGCAGCCAAAGCACAAGCUAAGAAGUCAGUGUCUACUGAACCAACACACACAGUAAAGGAAAAAUCAAGUAAAGGAAAGGAAAAAGCUACUGUAGCUCCACAGACCUAAUCCAAACCACCAGGAAAAGGCAUAAAGACAAUGGCCACCAAAUCAAAAUUCCUCAAGAGAAGGAAAUCCUCCAGAUUAGCUAAAAAAGCCAGGCCAACAAUUGUUUCUUCUCCUCAGAAUCUAGUAGAAGUCUCUAACAAGUCCUCACUUGAACCUUCUCCUCAACCUUCACCACAAAAAUCACCACCAGAACCUUCUGAUGAACCCUUCAAUGUCAAAUACUAAAUUGAUGAUGAAUUAUCUCCUUCAUCUUCUUCAAAAGAUGAUUAAACAUCCUUGAGAUUUGAUGAUGACAAAAAAGGGGAGAAGUGGAAAGCUAAGGGAAAAGGGAAAAUCAAUUAAAAAAAAUAUUGGGGUAAAGGUACCAAAAAUCUAGGUAAAAUUUAGGAUGUUGAAUCUGACUAGGCUAUCUAUGGUAGAUGGUCUAUGGUAGUUUGCUGGAAAUUGGAUACUGAUCAUUGUGCUAAGACACUAUUUAUUUAUUUUGUUCUGUUGCUGAUUACCAAUGCUGAAAGUCAGUUAAGACAUUGUUUAUUUAUUUUGGUUUGAUUGUGAAUGGAUGCAAUGCUGAUAAGCUGAUGAUUGAAUAUUUAAAUCUUCCAUUGAGUUUCUGUUGAUGCUUUGGUGCUGAUAUUGAGCUGUUAUGUUGAUAAUUAAUUGUUGAUGUGAUAUUGUGAGUAAAAUUUGGAUGAAAAUAAAUAUGAAUGCUGAUAUUUUUGACUGGAUGGUUUAUGACAUUUAACCUUGGAAUGAAUUAAGUUUGGAAACAAUACGACAAACAGCAAGCUGAAAUAGUAAUAAUGUUUAGUCAUUCUAUCACUUACUGCUCAUUAUUCCAUAACCCUGUAUAAAUAUAUUUUGUCAUCAAUUUGAACCCUUACAUGUCGUUUUCUGUAUGACAAGAAUAAAAACAUGCUGAAAUGAAUAAUAAAACUAUGCACACACUAAGGGGGAGCACACACUUAGGGGGAGGAAAACCUCCAUUUUGUGCAGAACUAAAAAGAAUAAAAGGACACUGUGCUGUUAACCAAGGAAUGUUUUUUCAUCAUAAAAAAGAGGGAGAUUGUUGGCUCCAUUAGUUUUUGACGAUAAUAACACAUUCUCAUUCAUUUGUGUCUAAUAUCUCCACUUGAGUGUACAAGACAAAUAUUGUAUGUAAAAAUUAAUAAAUCAUUCAAAUGCACAUGUCAAAGAGCAUAAGAAUAAGGAAGUCAAAAUUGAUCAACAAGAUAGAAGCCCCUUAGUCCAUUAAUGAAGAGUUAAUCAGCUAAAAUUCAAACUAGAAGUUGGUGGGCUGAAGAGUAUUGAGAGACAGAAAAGACUUAGUCGACCAAGGAGUGAGUUAGUCGACUAAGUGCACACUACUAGAAACUGGGAUCAGAAGACAGAGACGACUUAAUCGACUAAGAUAUCGAUUAGUUGACUAGGAGCAUUCUGCCAGAAAAUUUGAAUUGUGCACUAGAAGACAAAUUAACGGCUAUAACUGCAACAAAACUGUUUUCAACGAUCAGAAACUGUCUAACACAUUUCAAAGCUGAUUUUCCAAGUAUAAAAGAGGGUUCCAACGGCUAGAAAUGCAUUGAAGGCUUCCAAGAACACAAAGAGAGCUGACAAACCAGAAAACACUUAUAGCUCAUUUACUGCACUCAACUCCUAUCUUUGUAAUUGUGAUCUACACUUCAUUUGUACCACUUAGGUCAACCUUGUGAUCAUAGGUACACUCUUUUUACUUCUCUUCUUGUAUUCUUAGAGCGAGCGAGUCACUCUAAGGUAUUGAUUCAAGCUAGGAUUGCUUGAUUGGAUUUAGGUUCUAACUUAGCCUUGAAAAGUUAGGUGUUGGGUUUUAGUUGAUCCUGGUAAAAACUAUUGUGAAAGGUUUUGGCUAAGCCUGGCAAAAGCCAUUGUAAAGCUUAGUGAAAGCUUGUGAAUUUUACUGGUUCAUAGUGGAUUAGUUUGGAAAAUCCUUGGUUGGAUAAUUAAGGUAGUGGAUGUAGGUCUUGGAUCGAACCACUCUAAAUUCUUGCGCAUUCUCUACUCUGUUUUUAUUUUCAUUGGUUUUCAAAUUAGUUCCUUAUCUUGCCAAGAGCCAAAAAGCGCUAUUCACCCUCCCUCUAGCAUAUUUAAUUGGGACAAACAGAGAAAUGAUAGCUUAUCUUGAGAGUCUAGGAAUAAGAGGUAACCUUCAAUACCUUUAAAUCUUUGAAAUAUGCUAAUGUUUAUGAUGAGUGCUUUAUAGUAAAUAUAGUUGUGGGUGAAAAGCGGUUGCUCCAAUUAAAUGAGAUGGAUGAAAUACGGUGAAAUGCUUAUGUGAAUGUCAAAAUUUAUGAAGAAAAGAAAAAAUGAUGGCAUGACAAGAAGAUUGUUGAAUGACAUUUUGAGCUAGGUCAACAUGUGUUGUUGUUUAAUUCUUGUUUGAAACUGUUUCUAGGAAAAUUGAAAUCGCCGUGGUUAGGACCGUUUCUCAUUUCAAGAGUGUUGCCAUAUGGUGUCGUGGAACUAGUGGAUGACACAACAAAUAUAAAAUUUAAGGUGAACGGGUGUUGAUUUAAACACUAUUAAAGAGUGACAUGAUUGCCAACACUCUUCCAUUAGUCUUUUCGAACCCAGCUAAUGACCUUAAAGAAAGCGCUGCCUGGGAGGUAACCCAAGUUUUAUUUACUUAAAAAAAAUUUUGGUUGUUCAUUAAUUAUUUUUGUUAGUAAUUCAAUUUUAAUUUUUAUUUUCAUAUUACUAACUACUUAUUGUUAUUUUCUUUUUGCAAGUUAAUAAUACUAAUAAUAAUAGUUAUUUGAUUAUUCCAAAAAAAAGUUGUUAGUGUCGCGACGCUAGAACAUUCCUAGGGUUCCAUAAUGGAACCUAAGGUUGGGGUGUUGCGAUGCUACCCAAAAGGCGUUGUAAUGCCCCACAAUCAAAAUUAUAUAAGGCAUGGGCUAGUGGAGUGUCGUGGUGUUGGGCCCAUGGCUUUAUAUAAACCCCUUUCGCCCCCAUUUUACAACCCUAGGUAGAAAUUUUCAGUCUCUCUCUACCCCACUUGAGAAAUUUCACUCCUUUUUUACCUACCCACUACAAAAUCUCUUCCAAACACCAAUGAUUUUGCAUUAAACUUGGAUUUUAAAGGAUUUUUGAGCAUUUUUACUUUCUUUGAGGUAUUUGAGUGCAAAAAACUAUUAUAAGUGCUCUACUUUCUUAUUCUAAUUCUUUUUAUAGACAGCAUGGUGUUUUGAAGAUGGGUUUUGCAUAUGUUAGAUUUAAUAAUGUAGUAUAUGGAUUUCAUGAAUUUCUGAGUUUUGUGCUUAAAUUAUAAUUUUUGAAUAGUGGGUACCAUGAAUAACUCUUGUUUUUUGCACUUUGAAUUUGAAUUUGAUGAAAAGUAAGAUUAGUGUUAUUCAUAUUAUGAAGGGUUUAAAAUAGUUAGGAUAAAAUAUUUUGUCUAUGUUGAUCAAUUAUUUGUAAUGUAUACUAAUUAGUUGUGAUCAAAAGUGUGUUGUUGUAACGACCCCUCCUCAGUCGCUACUAACGUCCGAGACUUUCUAGAGAACCCGCCAAGUCCUGAACAAGCCUUGACAGAUAUCGAUUAUCAACUAUCACACAUUCAUUGGACAAUCUCGUAAUCAUCACAAUUUUAUUAAUAAUAAAUAUUCUAGAUAUAUUGUUUUCCAUCAUUACAUAAGUAUAUCUACGUUGUACCCAAGUAUUUGUUUCCAUAACUGAAUAUACUAUAAUUGACCCAACCUCUAACAGCGAAGCGACUUGGAUUAGGUUGCUAGGAGAUACCUUACCUACAUCGCUGGACCAUAAUGCCGAUGAAUAGCUCGCUAGCUAAUCACUAUUUGUAAAAGAGAAAUAAGGGGGUGUGUCUCACAGACUCAGUGAUUAUCGGCUCCUUGAGCAGAGGAUAGAUGGGAAACAAGCAAUAAGGUAAAGAUUUUUGAACAAUAAAAAUUACAAGAGUAGAUAAAAUUUUUUAAUUCAAACGAAGAUUUAUGCCUUAUAUAUAUAUAAGAAAAUAUCAAGAAUCUCUUAUAAGUCAUAAUCAAACAUAAUGUAUAUCAAGUCAAGUAAGUAAACUUUUGUGUAGCGAGAAAGUUAAUAACCAUUUUCAAACUGAAUCAGUAAAAUAUCAUUUUAAACUUCGUGCUCAUAAAAGAUCUCUGCAGUCGAAAUUAUCUCAUGUAAUACUCAAAUUAAAUCAAUAAAUUGGGCAAGCUCCCGCGAAACCAAAUAACAACCAAGUUUAUACACAAUUCACAAAUCGCCUCGCAUACGAGGGUAAAAUUCAUAUAACAAUAAAACUAGGGGGAGCUGUAAAAAAUCGUAUAAUUUCGUUUUCACCAAGCAAGAAAUAAGAGUCUAAAAACCCAAAGAGAUUUUUGUCUCAAGUAGGAAAUCAAAUAAAAUCCGUGGUCCCACUGCCACGUAAUAACUUCCGAGAGCCUCGCUCCACCGGAUCCCACAUGCCACGGCAGUCUCAACGAUGUUGGGCAACAUGGGAGAAUCAAGCGGUUGCAAUUACGUAAUCAUCUGACGGCCUAGCCACGCAUACAUAUAUCACAGGCCGUGGUCUCCACCACGCCUAAUCGCCCGUCGGAGACCCAAAGGUUCUCUAGUUAGAGCUCACUCGUGCACGAGGGUCACACUUAACCGAAGUGACAGCCGGCCUACUCUCAAAUCUCUCGGUUAAUAAAACCAUUUUAGAAAUCACUUUAUGUCUUUGACAUCUCGUUUCAAAAUUAUUUCCAAAGCAUUCAAUAUAGGGCAUGAUAAAAUCUAUCAUUUUCUCAAAAUAUAUUUAUGCAUGAAUAUCAAAACAAUAAUUCGCAUGGUGAAUUAGCAAUAUAACCAUGAAUGCACACUGCACAAAUAUAGGGCACAGAUUUUGAGGCAAAACAGUGUGAAGGGCUUGUUUCCCGAUUUUGAAAACACUUUACAUAUAUAUAUUAAAGACGAUUUCUAAAUAUAAUUUGCAACCACAAUUUCCUAAGAUUGUUACCAGCACAUGCUAUUCACAAUUUUCAUGUUUAAGAUAAAUCAUACGUAUAGGUAUAUAUUUAAUGAAAUUUUAAAAUUGGCACUCUUUACUCACCUCACAAUAGCGGGAUGUUACGUCGCUAUUAAUUCAAAGACGUAUCGAGUUACUUCUUUUUACCGAUCGUUAGUUAUUUCCUUCAGCCUUUCACCACAGUGCACCACCUAUUUAUUUCUCCUAAAUAUUGAAACCCACGUAAUUAAUAUAUCUAUAUAUCUUAUUUUAUUUUAACAUUAUUAUUAUAUAUUUUAUUAUUUUUUUACCUUUCUUUCCCGUUUAUUAUUAUUUUUUCUCUCUUCUGCUCGUUUUUCUCUUCCUUCCUUCUCCCUCCUUUCACUCACCAACCGGCUGCUCUUCCUUCCUCUUUCUCUCUCACCAUCGGUAGCACCCCAAAACUCAGCUUCCUCUCUUUCUUUCCUCAAAAUCCAGCAGCUAACUCAGCUUUCUUUUCCCUUUAAACUUUACAACAAAACUCUCCUAUUUUUACUCCUUUAAGUGGCAGCACACAACCUCUCUUUUCUAGCCCUAUCUUUCUCUCAAAAUCAGCUUCAGAACCUCUCCUACCUCCCUAAAAAAUCGACAGCACAAAGCUCCCUUUGUCCUUUACAAUCCGGUAGCACAAACCUUUGUUUAUUCUCUCACAAACCCUACGACACUAGCCCUUGUUUUCUCCCUCAAGCAUUAGCUGCACCAUUCCUUUAUUUUUCCCUCACCAGUCUGUAGUAUCAGCUCUUUUUUUCUCCCUCAAAAUGACUUCUUUCUUUCUUUUUUCUUUUAUUCUCUUGGCUAGCUUAACUUUUCUUUUGAUUUCUUUCUUAUCUUUUCUAUCUUUCAUCUUUCAUUCAUUUCUUUUCUUUUUAUAUGGCCUUUCAUCUCAAUGGCCGGCCCCCCUUUACUUUCACACAUGAUUUAAAAAUAAUAAUUCUAAUAGCUUUGACUCUCUCUUUUGUCUCCAUGACCGGUUGGUAAUAAAAGAAAUUGAUAAAAUUUUGUUUGAUGUGGUUUGCAGUUAGGGCCGAUAAUGACAAGCUUGCUUGUAAAUUCUCCUUUUUUUUUUAUUCUUUUACAUGUGACAGCCCAUACCAUCAUUUUUUCUUCUUUUAUUGUUUUCCUUGAUCGGCCAUGUGGUUAGAAUGCAAGUCAACAAUUGCUUGGAACCUUUAAAGCCACUUUACUUGACUUUUCCUCCCCAUUUCACUAUUGUCUCAUCUUUUCUCCUCAUUUUCUUUGUACAUAAGCCUUACAUUUCCAGCAAAUCUUACAUGGAUGGCCGGCCAUGAGGAACAAAAAGAAGAGUCAAAGCUUCCUUUGAAAGCUUUGACCAAGCUUUGUAACACAAUUACUAUUUUACCUUUCAAGGUUCUCAUCCUUUUAAUUAAGUCCUCCGAAAAUCUUUAAAUCUCCAAUUUCCUUCUAUUAUCUUCUUUUACAUAUGUACAAAUGAAAUAUAAAGUUUGUACCUCAACGCGGUGUUCUUAUAAUAUUUGAAAUAUUAUUUACCCCGCGCUAUCUUUAUUUAAUAAAGACACGUGGGCCCCUUUAAUGUCAUUUUUCUCUGAAAUUUCCUCAUUCUUCCUCUCCCCCACUUAGAUUGACCAUAUACUCCUUCUUCACGAAAAAAUUUUGACACUGAAUAAAAUAAUAAUAUUUUAAUAUUAUUUUAUUAAUAAAAAAUUAUUUUAUUCCAAAAAUUUCCUCUUGUCUCCUUGGUAUCCAAAAUACCUUAUUAUGCCUUAAUUGGCAUCUGAUAAGCUUUAUUUGUCACCACAUCAAAGUACGGAGUAUUAUAGUCUCCCCUACUUAAAUAGAAUUUGUCCUCGAAUUCACGUCGGUGUCGAGUUAUCAAUCUCACUCUAUGAUCUUAUCCCUUUUUCCCCUUUUAUGGGGACAUUCGAUUUGUUUACCUUGUUCACCCCCAAUUCAAUUUGAAUACCUUAUUUAUGUCAAUAUUAUCCUUUAGAACCAGAUCAACAGUACCCUUCAUAAUCAUGAUCUCUUAUAUUGAGACUCCAAACAUGCCUCUAUCACUAUCAUUAAAUUUGAACCAUAACUCUAUCUCAAUCAUACCGAUUUCGAUCACAUAUUAUACUUACUUAUGUAUACCUAAUCAGCAUCGUAUUAUUUCACUCCUUGCCAAACUUUUCGACAUUGAUUCAUUCAUCUUAUUCCCAUACACUAUUAUGUAACCUGCAGCAUUAUUAACAUGCCAUAUUGAUUUCUAUACAUAGUCUCAACGUCGAAAAAGGUUAAUGCCUCUAAUUAUUCCCACAUACUUCAGGUUUAUCUUGCAUUUACGCCACAUACUUCAAUUAUUCCCACGUAAUGGAUUACAUUUCUUUAAUCACAUUCUUUGAUUAUCUUUUCUAAAAUUUCUUAUAUCAUCAUAGUUCAACUUUUAUUGGGACUUCUUGCUGUUGUACUAUUUAUACAACUCAUCAAUACAUGAAGUUCAAAUCUCUAAUUACUAAGAACAGUUCUUCACCUCAGUUAGUCAAGUUAUCAAUAUCACAUAUACAUGUGUACAUGCAUUUUCCAAAUGUCAGCAUUCCUCGUUACGCAUAGGGAUCCAUCUGUUCACGUGCCUUAGACUACAUUUCCCUUUAUUCAUCCGCAUCCCUAUCCAAGAUUCAAUAUAAUAAUCCUCAUAAUGCAUGUCAACAUUCUUGUUAUGCCUACGCAUAACUUCAUAUUGUUUAUUCAUUUCCAAUUAUAUGCUUGAGUUUCAUCAUACUAUAUUCUUACAUCACAAUGUCAUUAAUCACAACUCACUUACUAAAUGUCACUCGCAUUGAAUUGCAAUAUGAUAUUCGCAUAUACUUUGUAAUCUCAUUGAUCUUUCAAAGGUUUAUCUUUAUUGGAUCAUUGCAUCUUAUGCAAUACCACAAUCUUUAAAAGUCAUCCUUAUUUCUUAAUUAUUCCUCAUACCUCUAACACAUAUAUAUGUAUAUAUAUAUAUCCUUGUUGCAUUUCGACUAUAAUGAGUCACUUAAAACUUAUACUGAUUCGAAUCGUGCAUGCCUCAAGUAUUUCCAAAUUCCAAUUCCCAUACUACAUUAAAAAGUUUUCAUUAUCGGGCUUCAUUAUCUAGAUUAUCUUCAACAAUCCUUUGUUAUAUUCUUCCAUACUAACGUGACAUUAUUCUCCUUAGACCAAUUUGCAAUUUGUACUUGAAACUGCAAGACUUAAAACAAGGUCCUUUUCAAGUACUUUUCAAUGUCAAUACGAAUAUCACCUUCAGCUUAUGGCUUCCUUUUUAUAACCACAUAACUUCAUGCUUACUUUCACAAGAUCCACAGUAGAACUCCUCUUAAGUAUCUCUUUACGGAUACCUAUCUUAAACUUAUGUCUCACUGCAUGUGAUCAUUUAACCCAUGACUUAGCCGUUAGGUUCCUUGGCAAAUUUCAAAAAUCCCUUACUUUAUACUUGCCAUGUAUGAUUGGUAAUUCCUUUUCGAAGAUAUUUGUGCAUUGCUGAAACACUUAGCCCCUUAUUUACUCUUUAACGUCCCAAGCAUAUCGAUCUAUAGACAUGCACCUAUUCUUAGGAUAUAUAAAUACAUACUCAUCCAUUCAAUUCCCAAUUUGUCAUUCUUCUCUUUACUUAUCAUACGUAUUAAGCCAAGUUAAUACUUUCAACUCAUGUCAUCUUUUGACUUUUAUCAUCAUUCAUGAAAUCCCACCUUAAGGUACCUUUUUCAUAUGGUGUAAUGAAUUCACAAUACAUAUAUCACCACACACAUAAUUACUCACUAUUUACGACAUUCCACAAAUUUGUUGUUAUCCAUAACUAACUAUCUUUCUUGUCUUGUACUCCAAUACUUUAUUAACUUUCGGUAUAAAUGACCACGAAAAUAGUUCACCUUCCUCCUCACUUUAUUCUCACAAUCCUCAUUAAAUCAAAAAUUUCAUAUUUCCCUAAACUCCAUAAUUUAACUCCAUUGGGCUAUAUUUGUGCCCAAUUAUUAACUCAUAGUGUCAUGGCAUCACUUGGUAAUCCCCUUCAUGCUUAAAUUACAAUCAUCAACUUAUAACUAUAAACCGUAAUGGUUCAAAUUAAACCUUUGAAUCUCGCAAUCACUUGAUUAAAAUCCAAACCAACUCCAUCUAAGUUACUAUACACAUAUUCAAUACCUAUCCGCAUAUAAAAUAUUUCGAAAGUUCAACACCAUUCAUAUAUAGGCAGGGCAAACUUAAUUAACACAAGUUCAACACCAUUCAUAUAUGGGCAGGGCAAACUUAAUUAACACAAUACACUUACCUCCGUGCGCGAGUACCAGUUUACACCUCCCUUAAUAUUUAGAUUUAUAAACCUCAAGUGAAUCUCAAUGAUCAUUAUUCGUCCAGUCAAAGUAUACCCCUUAUUAGUAUUAUCAUACGUGCCCCUUUAUAUUAACCUCGAAUACCAUCCACAGUCAUCUAAUUUUCUUCCCAUUGUCAAUCUUGGGCUCAACUUAUAACUUCACCAAAUGACUACAUUAUUUCGAACCUAUCAAUUUAGCUCCACUUUCCUCCAUUCUUAAUCGGAGGGAUGCGUCAUUACAUUAAUCUUUCAUUAGGAGCAUUUUGCUUUAAGAUCUUUCCAAUAAUGGCUCGUGUCUCAGGUGGCAUCUCAAACUCGGGCAACGGUACCACUUAUGCCCUUUAUAUGACGAUAACAAAAUGGUAGGUUACUAAGAAUAAGAGUUUAUAUAGCGUCCUAUCUAUGACUUGUGCUACAGUCAUAAACCAUAAACAAGACUCUACAUUAACUCCGACAACUCCGCUGACUGACACAAGAAUCCCUAGGACUCAACUAAACCUAGGGCUCUGAUACAAACUUUGUAACGACCCUUCUUCGGCCGCUACCAGCGUCCGAGACUUUCGAGAGAACCCGCCAAGUCCCGAAUAAGCCUUCACAGAUAUCAAUUAUCAACUAUCACACAUUCAUUGGACAAUCUCGUAAUCAUCACAAUUUUAUUAAUAAUAAAUAUUCUCGAUACAUUGUAUUCCAUCAUCACAUAAGUAUGUCUACGUUGUACCAAAGUGUUUGCUUCCAUAACUGAAUAUACUAUAAUUAACCCGACCUCUAACAGCGGAGCGACUUGGAAUAGGUUGCUAAGAGAUGCCUUACCUACAUCACGAUGGACCAUAAUGCCGAUGAAUAGCUCUCUAGUUGAUCACUAUCUGUAAAAGAGAAAUAAGAGGGUGAGUUUCACAAACUCAGUGAUCAUCGGCUCUGUGACCAGAGGAUAGAUGGGAAACAAGCAAUAAGAAAGAUUUUGAAUAAUAAAGUUGUAAGAGUAGAUAAAAAUAUUUAAUUCAAACGGAGAUUUAUGCCUUAUAUAUAUAUAAGAAAAUAUCAAGAAUCUCUUGUAAGUCAUAAUCAAACAUAAUGUAUAUCAAGUCAAGUAAGUAAAAUUUUGUGCAACAAGAAGGUUAAUAACCAUUUUCAAACUAAAUCAGUAAAAUAUCAUUUUAAACCUCGUGUUCAUAAAAGAUCUCUGCAGUCGAAAUUAUCUCAUGUAAUACUCAAAUUAAAUCAAUAAAGUUGGGCAAGCUCCCGAGAAACCAAAUAAUAACCAGGUUUAUACACAAUUCGCAAAUCGCCUCGCAUACGAGGGUAAAAUUCAUAUAACAGUAAAACCAGGGGGAGCUGCAGAAAAUCGUAUAAUUUUGUUUUCACCAUGCAAGAAAUAAGAGUCUGAAAACCCAAAGAGAUUUUUUUCUUGAGUAGAAAAUAAAAUAAAAUCCGUGGUCCCACUACCAUGUAAUAACCUCCGGGAGCCUCGCUCCACCGAAUCCCACAUGCCAUGGCAGUCUCAACGAUGUUGGCCGACAUCAGAGAAUCAAGCAGUCACGACCGCAUAAUCAUCUAGUGGCCUAGCCAAGCAUACAUAUAUCACAGGCCGUGGUCCCCACCAUGCCUAACCGCCCGUCGACGACCCAAAGGUUCUCUAGCUAAAGCUCACUCGUGCACGAGGGUCACACUUAACCGAAGUGACAACCAGCCUACUCUCGAAUCUCUCGAUUUAUAAAACCAUUUUAGAAAUCACUUUAUGUCCUUGACAUCUCGUUUCAAAAUUAUUUCCAAAGCAUUCAAUAUAGGGUAUGAUAAAAUCUAUCAUUUUCUCAAAAUAUAUUUAUGCAUGAAUAUCAAAACAAUAAUUCACAUGGUGAAUAAGCAAUAUAACCAUGAAUGCACACUGCACAAAUAUAAGGCACAAAUUUUGAGGCAAAACAGUGUGAAGGGCUUGUUUCCCGAUUUUCAAAACACUUUACAUAUAAUUUAUACAUAUAUAUAUUUGAGAUGAUUUCUAAACAUAAUUUGCAACCACAAUUUCCUAAGAUUGUUACCAGCACAUGCUAUUCACAAUUUUCACAUUUAAAAUAAAUCAUACGUAUAGGUAUAUAUUUACAAAUAUUUUAAAAUUGGCACUCCCUACUCACCUCACAAUAGCGGGAUGUUACAUUGCAAUUAAUUCAAAGACAUAUCAAGCUACUUCUUCUUACCGAUCGUUCGUUAUUUCCUUCAGCCUUUCACCAUAGUGCGCCAUCUAUUUAUUUCUCCUAAAUAUUGAAACCCACGUAAUUAAUAUAUCUAUAUAUCUUAUUUUAUUUUAACAUUAUUAUUAUAUAUUUUAUUAUUUUCUUACCUUUCUUUCCCGUUUAUUAUUUUUUUUCUCUCUUCUGCUCAUUUUUCUCUUCCUUUCUGCUACCUCCUUUCACUCACCAACCGGCUGCUCUUCCUUCCUCUUUCUCUUUCACUGUCUGUAGCACCCCAAAACUCAGCUUCCUCUUUUUUCUUUCCUCAAAAUCCAGUAGCAAACUCAGCUUUCUUUACCUUUUAAAAUUUAAAGCAAAGCUCUCCUCUUUUUACUCCUUUAAGUGGCAAUACACAACCUCUCUUUUCCAGCCCUAUCUUUCUCUCAAAAUCAGCUUCAUAACCUCUCCUACCUCCCUCAAAAAUCGACAGCACAAAGCUCCCUUUGUCCUUUACAAUCCGGUAGCACAAACCUUUGUUUAUUCUCUCACAAACCCAACAACACUAGCCCUUGUUUUCUCCCUCAAGCAUUGGCUGCACCCUUUAUUUUUCACUCACCAGCCGACGAUACCAGCUCUUUCUUUCUCCGUCAAAAUGACUUCUUUCUUUCCUUUUGCUUUUAUUCUCUUGGCCGACUUAGCUUUUCUUUUCAUUUCUUUCUUAUCUUUUUUAUCUUUCAUCUUUCAUUCAUUUCUUUUCUUUUAUAUAGCCUUUCAUCUCAAUGGCUUGCCCCCCCUUACUUUCACACAUAAUUUAAAAAUAAUAAUACUAACAACUUUAACUCUCUCUUUUGUCUCCAUGACCGGUUGGUAACAAAAGAGAUUGAUAAAAUUUUGUUUGAUGUAGUUUGCAAGUGGGGCCGACAAUGACAAUCUUGUUUGUCAAUUCUCUUUCUUUUUUUUUAUUCUUUUACAUGUGACCGCCCAUACCAUCAUUCCUUCUUCUUUUAUUGUCUUCCUUGACCAGCCAUGUGGUUAGAAUGCGAGUCAACAAUUGCUUGGAACCUUUAAAGCCACUUUACUUGACUUUUCCUUCCCAUUUCACUAUUGUCUCAUCUUUUCUCCUCAUUUUCUUUGUCUUUUCCUUUCUUUGUACAUAAGUCUUACAUUUCUAGCAAAUCUUACAUGGAUGGCCGGCCAUGAGGAAUAAAAAGAAGAGUCAAAGCUUCCUUUGAAAGCUUUGACCAAGCUUUGUAAGAAAAUUACUAUUUUACCCUUCAAGGUUUUCAUCCUUUUAAUUAAGUCCUCCAAAAAUCUUUAAAUCUCCAAUUUCCUUCUAUUAUCUUCUUUUACAUACGUACAAAUGAAAUAUAAAGUUUGUACCCCAACGCGGUGUUCCCAUAAUAUUUAAAAUAUUAUUUACCCCGCGCUAUCUUUAUUUAAUAAAGAUACGUGGGCCCCAUUAACGUCAGUUUUCUCCAAAAUUUCCUCGUUCUUCCUCUCUCCCACUUAGAUUGAGCAUAUAUGCCUUCUUCAUGAAAAAAUUUUGACACUGAAUAAAAUAAUAAUAUUUUAAUUUUAUUUUAUUAAAAAAAUAUUAUUUUAUUCCAAAAAUUUCCUCUUAUCUCCUUGGUACCCAAAAUACCUUAUUAUGCCUUAAUUGGCAUCUGAUAAGCUUUAUUUGUCACCACAUCAAAGUACGGAGUAUUACAGUUGCUUAUUGCUUGGGUAUUCAGAUAAUCAUCAUUGCACCAAAAGAAAAAGACACGUGCAAGUGGAAGCGGGAAUAGCUUUCGUAGAAGUAAAUUUAUUUCAGCCGAAAUUGAGAAGUGCUGCACCUAGUCCCUAUUGCACAAAGUUCCAAUUCUAGAACGUGGCAUUGAUGUCUAGAGAGCACUUCAUCUUAACAUCUACAAUAUUAUCGACUUGACAGUUGGAGAAAUUUUACGCCCAGCCAGAGGCUGUAGUAAUGCCUAUGGUUAGGGAAUUCUAUGCCAAUGUUGUUGAACAUGAAGAUGGGUGAGCCUUCAUUCAAGGAUGUCAAGUACCUUUUGAUGCUCACACUAUUAAUCAGUUUUACAAUACACCUGACAUUGGGAACGAUAAGCACGACCAAUUUGUGAAUGAUGUUAAUUUGGAUGAGGUUCUAGGGUUUAUAAGCAUUUUAGGUAUUGAAUGGAAAGUGCACAAUGGUGUUCCAAUUUCAUUUAAAGAUAAUGCCACGGAUAGCUACUACAAGGUGUGGUAUCAUUUCUUAGCUACGAAUAUGGUUCUUGUAAAACACCUGAGUGAUGUGACCAAGGAUUGAGCAAUCCUCUUGUACGUAAUUGUCACUGAAAAAUCUAUUAACAUUGGGCAAUUAAUCUUCAACAACAUUAUCAUGUCAGCUUAGUCACCAUGUGACGGAAUGUGGUAUCUAUCUUUAAUCACUGCUUUGUCUAUCAAGUCAAAAUUUUUUGGUUAGAGAAUGAAGAGUUGUUGCAUCCAGAGAUUCCAUUAGAUGGUGGGAUCAUUAAUAGAAUCUACAUGUGGGAGCAAACCACCAUUGGUGGAAGUUCAACUACGACACCUCAACCACCGCGACAUUCUCAAAAUCUCUCCAUGCCUUAACGAAUGGAACAACUUGAGCAUUGUUUUGACCAUCAGAAAGAGUUUUUCAAAGCCAUUGAUGAGAUGAUGAAGGCAUAUGUCGAGCAUGUUAGCAUGGACAUGACUACCUUCCCUACACUGCUUGUUGAUCCCACCUAGGAUAAGGAUGACAAUACUACUAUGAAGGAGGAUGACGAUUAACUUUGUUUGCAAGUUUAAGGAAGUAUUUUCUUUCUUUACUUUUAGGAACAUUGAGGAUAAUGUUCACUUUACGUUUGAGGAGAAUUUUUAUGUUUUCUUUUAUUUAUUGUAUGUUUGUUUAAACUAGUUCAUGUGCAUGAUGUUAGUUGGAACUUGUUGAAAUAUCAAGCUAGAGUUGUACACCAAUUGCAAUUGAUUUAUCUAUCCAAUGAUGAAAAGUUGUUGGUCCCAAGUAGAUGUGUUAGAGGAGGGUGAAUAGCAUAAUUUGGCUCUUAACAAGAUGAGGAACUAAUUUGAAAAGUAAUGAAAAUAAAAACAUAGUAGACAAUGCGCAUGAAUUUAGAGGGGUUUGAUCCAAGACCUACAUCCACUACCUUGAUUAUCCAACCAAGGAUUUUCCAAACUAAUCCAUUAUGAAGCAAUGAAAUUCACAAGCUUUCACCAAGCUUUACAAUGGCUUUUACCAGGCUUAGCCAAAACCUUUCACAAUGGUUUUUACUGAGAUCAACCAACACCCAAAGUGGUUUUUCAAAGGCUCAACCACAACCUUUCACAAUGGGUUUUCAUGGGCUCAACCAAAACCCAAAGUGGUUUUUCAAAGGCUCAACCACAACCUACAACAAUGGUUUUUCACGAGAUCAAUCAAAACCCGACAACUAACUUUUCAAGGCUAAGUUAGAACCUAUACACUCAAUCAAGCAAUCCAAGCUUGAAUAAAUCCCUUAGAGUGACUCCCUCACUCAAAGAAUAGAAAGAGAGAAGUAAUGAGAGUGUACCUAUGAUCACACGGUUGAUCUAAGUGGUACAAGUGAAGUGCAUAUCACAAUUACAAGGAUGAGAGUUGAGUGCAAUAAAUGAGCAAUGACUAUUUGUAGGUUUUUCAGCUCUUUUUGUGUUCUUGGAAGCCUUCAUUCCAUUUCUAGCCAUUGGAACCCUCUUUUAUACUUGAAAAACCAGCUCUGAUGUGAGUUAGAUAGUUCAGUUUUUGACCGUUGGGAACAGUUUGGUAGCAAUUUUGGCCGUUAAUCUGUCUUCUAGUGCACAAUUCAAAAUUUUUGGCAGAAUGUUCUUAGUCAACUAACCGAUAUCUUAGUCGACUAAGUCGUCUCUGUCUUCUCAUCCUAGUUUCUAGCAGUUCUAGCAGUGUGCACAGAGUCGGCUAACUUAUUCCUUGGUCAACUAAGUUGGUUUUGUUUCUCAAUACUCUUCAACCCACCAACUUUUGAUUUAAAUCUUAGCUGACUAACUCUUCAUUAAUAGACUAAGGGGCUUCUGUCUUGUUGAUCAAUUGUGACUUCCUUAUUUCUAUGCUCUUUGAUAUGUGCAUUUGAAUGAUUGAUUAAAUAUUUGCAUUCAAUUUUUGUCCUACACACUCAAUUACAAAUAUUAAACACAAAUGAAUGGGAAUGUUUUAUUAUCAUCAAAAACUAAUGGGGCCAACAAUCUCCCUCUUUUUGAUGAUGAAAAAAAUUUCUUGAUUAACAGCAUAGUAUCCUUUUAUUCUUUUUUAGUUUUGCACAAAGAUGAGGAUUUCUCCCUGUAUGUGUAUGCUCCCCCUUAGUUUGUGCAUAUUUUGCUUAUUCAUUUUAGCAAAUUUUAUUCAUAUAGAAAAUGACAUUAUACAUUUAGAGUAUAUAUAUGCAAAAAUAAAAAGUGAUUUACAGCAGGUGAAUGUUGAUAGAUCAUCAAAAUUUUAGUAAUGUCUGUCAACAAUUUAUUGUUAUCAAAUUUUGUCUAUGCCAUACAUCAUUCAACAAAUAUACUAUACUUAGCAUCCAAAUUUAUUCACAAACACAAUCCAUUUACAAUCAAACCAAAAUAAAUAAACAAUGUCUCAAUAGACUUUCAACAUUGGUUAUCAGCAACAGAACAAAAUAAAUAAAUAGUGUCUUAGCACAAUGAUCAGUAUCCAAUUUUUAACAAACUACCAUGGAUCAUCUACCAUAGAUAACCUGAUCAGAUUCAUCAUCCUAAAUUUCACCUAGAUUUCUGGUUCCUUUACCCUAACAUUUUUUUUUAAUUUUCCCUUUCCCCUUAACUUUUCCACUUCUCCCCCUUUUUGUCAUCAUCAAAAUUUAGGGAUGCCUAAUCAUCUUCUGAAGAGAGGGAAAGGAUUCAUCAUCAAUGUAGUAUUGAACAUUUAGGGGUUGAGGAGAAGACUCUGGUUGAGGAGAAGGUUGGGGUGGUGAUUUUUGAGGAGAGGGUUCAAGUGAGGACUUGUCAGAGACUUCUAGAGGUUCUUGACGAGAAGAGAUGGUUACUGGUCUGGCCUUUUCAACAAUCCUAGAGGAUUUUCUUCAUUUGAGGAACUUAGUUUUGGUUGCCAUUCUCUUGAUCCCUUUACCAGGUGGUUUUAGCUUAGUUUGUGGAGCUGCAGUAGCUUUUUUCUUUCCUUUACCUGAUUUUUCUUUUAUUGUGUGUGCUGGUUCAGUAGACACUGACUUCUUAGCUUGUGCUUUGGCUGCUUCCUUUUUUGUCUGCUCUUCCUUAACCAUCUGGUGGAAGACAUCCAUAAUGGAUACCUCUUCUGAAUUUUGAGGGGAGGGCUACUGUUUCUAAGGUUCUGAAAGAACAUUCUCAUCUAGUGAACUAAGCACUUCUGUUCUUUGUUCUGAGGUUCAGGUGAAGGGAUUUUUUCUGGUUGAUCAUUCCUUGGUUGAGAGUCCUCAGUUUCAAGGACAGGACUUGCAGUCUUGGAAACAGAACCUUCAACCUAAAGAAUAGGGCUUGUAGCAUGAAAAGUAGACCCUUCUGCCUAGAAAGCUGAACCCUCGGCACCUUGUUCUCCUGAUGCAAUGCUUGGGGUUGCAGAGGUAUUUGUAGCAGCAGGUUCAGUUGGCAUUUUUCCUUUUCCUUUCAUUUUGCUUUCCAUUUCUAUUAACCUUUCUUCAAUUUUCUAAAUUCUUGCCCCUUGGUUUGUGAGCUUUCCAUCAAUUCUCAUAAGUAGGUUGAAGAUCACUUCAUUUGAGAAUUGAGAUGGUGUUGCCUCUGGUUGAGCAGGUAAAGAGGACUCUUUUCUUGGACCAGCCUUGGGGGUUUUAACGAAUCUUUCUCCAUCAAGUUUGAACCCCAUUUUAAGCAAGCUUCCAAGGUAAAUGGCUUGAUCUCUACUUUUUACCUUGUUUUCCUCAUACCUUGAGCUCUAAAUCCCUUUCUUUUGCACCAAAGAUGUGAUGAUAUUUCCAUAAGGCAAAUUUAUUUUCUCUAGUCUACAUACUCCUUUCAUUCUCUCAAUCAUAAAUCUGCCUAAGUUAAGUGAAACACCAUUAAAUGCAUGUUCCAUCAGCCAUAGAUCUUGUAGGCUAAUAUAGAUAAAACUUCCCCCUCUUCCAUGAACAUUGGCAGCAAUGAAAUAAUGCAAUAUUCUAAUUUGUGGACUAGUGAUCAAACCAACAUUACUCUUAGAAGAAUAUUUCUCUUUCUUUCCUGUAAUCACUUCCCAUUGGGAUGAGGGAUCAUAGUUUUCUGGAAAUUCAAACUCAACCUCUUCACAUUCAAUUUUACGCAAACUACCCAAAUUAGUAGAAGUCAUAGUAAAUUCUUUCCCAUUUAAAAAUACAUUCAGGCCAUCCUCAAAAUAAUCAUUUGGUUCCUCCAGUUCAUCCUUGUCAACAACAAUACUCUGUUGGUCCCAAAUAAAUGUGCUAGAGGAAGGGUGAAUAAAACUUUUUGGCUCUUUAAAAAAUUGACCUUUAAUUGGAAAUAAAUGCAUAAUAAAAGAAAGAACUUAAAGAUAUAUAAAAACUGAAAACAGAACAGACAAACACACGGAUAUUUAUAGUGGUUUGGUCCAAGACCUACAUCCACUACCUUGAUUGUUCAACCAAGGAUUUUCCAAACAAUCCACUAAGAACCGGUGAAAUUCACAAGCUUUCACCAAGCUUUACAAUGGCUUUUACCAAGCUCAGCCAAACCUUUCACAAUAGUUUUUCUCAGGCUCAACUAUAACCCGAUACCUAACUUUUAAAGGCUAACUUAGCACCUUUAUCAAAACAAGCAAUCUUAGCUUGAUUGAACCCCUUAGAGUGACCCUUUCACUCUAAGAACAUAAAGAGUAAUGAAAUAAAAGUGUACCUAUGAUCACAAAGUUGAUCUAAGUGGUACAAGUUGAAGUACAAAACACAACUACAAAGAUGGGCGUUAAGUGCAAUAAAGUGUAGAGAGAUUUUUGCUUGUUUUUUGAGCUUUUUUUGCUUGGAAGCCUUGACUUCUAAAUUCUAGUCGUUAGAACCAUCUUUUAUACUUUAACAAACAACUCUGAUAGCAGUUUGAUAGUUUUCUAGCCAUUGGAAAUAGUUGAGAGUUGGUUCUAGCAGAGUUUAAACUUGCAGGUAGAAUUCUCUUAGUCGACUAACCGAUAUCUUAGUCGAAUAAGUCGUCUCUGUCUUCUGUUUCCAAUUUCUAGCAGUUUUGGCAAUGUGCACUUAAGUCGACUAACUCAUUCCUUGGUCAACUAAGUUGGUUCUGUUUCUCAAUACUCUUCAGCCCACCAACUUUUGAUUUAAAUCUUAGCUGACUAACUCUUCAUUAAUCGACUAAGGGGCUUCAGUCAUGUUGACCAAUUAUGACUUCCUUAUUCCUAUGCUCUUUGAUAUGUGCAUUUGAAUAAUUGAUUACAUAUUUGCAUAUAAUUUUUGUCCUCACACUCAAGUAGAGAUGUUAGACACAAAUGAAUGGGAAUAUUUUAUUAUCAUCAAAAGCUAAUGAAGCCAACAUACUCGAAUAAAAUUCUUUAACUAAACUACUACUGUAUGAUCGGUUUCUAAAUGUACUAAACUCCUUAAGUUUUAACUCCUCAAAUAAUCAGAUAAGCUUGUUUGAAUUUCUGGAAUUGCAUUAAAACUGUCCCAAUCGAUGUAUUUUCCAUAAGUGAUAGGUGCAUUCUCUAUUUUUCUAAAUCUCUCUUCAUGUACCUUAUUUAUGAAUUUAGAAGAUGAGGUAGUACCUUUCUUGAGCGAUUUGCCCUUAUCUUUCUUCUUUUCAGAUUUGUGGCUCUUUUGUUUCUAUGAUUUUCCAUAUUUUUCACUCACAGAUGCCAACACAAUCUUUUUCUUUUUCUUCUGUAUUUCUACUUGCAUGUUUUCUUCCAAUGGCCGUUUGCCUUUCUUCUUCUCUAGAAGUUCUUGGGACUGUACUGAUUUUGCCAUUUGGUUUGGAAGAUUUUCAACGUAAGGUUUCGAAUGGUUGAGAGGUGAGGGUUUCAGUUUCAGCUGUCGAUUUUAGCAGAGAGAAAAUGUAGAGAAAAUAGGUUGAUAGUAGUUUAAUUAGUUAAAAAAAAACUGUUUGACUUCCCUUCUUUAAGGAUAAUUGGUAACUCCCCCUUCAAAAUUCAAAAAUUGCCUCAUAAUUUUUAUUUUUGGUUUGGGCAGUUUUCUCCUCUGUUUUAUUUCCCGAUAAACAUUUUCUUUUCAUUAUUUUAUUCCUCCUACCUUUAACUUAACUGAGUCUUGUUAUUUAAUGAGACAGAAUGCUCUUAGUUGACUAAGACCUCUCUUAGUCGACUAAUGCCUACUGUCUUUUGUGAAAAUUUCAGAAUUUUUCUUUAAAUCUCUAGCAAACUAACCAUCCCUAAAUUUCUCCUAAUCUCACAAAAUCUUUUCUCAUUCAGGGGUUUUGUGAAUAUAUCAGCUAGUUGAUGUAGAGUGUUGACAAAUUCAAUUUUAAUGUUACUUUUCAUUACAUGAUCUCUAACAAAGUGGUGCCUAAUUUCAAUGUGUUUAGUCCUUGAGUGCUGCACAGGAUUCUUUGAUUGUACUUGUUUUGUCACAAUAUAUUGGUAUGUUAUUCAUUGGCAUUCCAUAGUCUUUUAGUUGUUGUUUAAUCCAUAAGAUUUGAGCACAACAGUUGCUUGGAGAUACAUAUUCUGCUUCUGCUGUAAACAAAGCAACUGAAUUUUGCUUUUUGCUAGAACAUGACACAAGCAUACUACCUAUAAACUGGUAGGUUCCACUAGUAAUCUUUCUAUCUGUUUUGCUCCUAGCAAAAUCAACAUCAGAAUAUCCAACUAAGCUAAAAGAUGAUUCUCUAAAGUACCAUAUGCCUAAAGUUUGUGUAUCUAUGAGGUAUCUAAAAAUUCUUUUAAUAGCAGUUAGGUGAGAUUCCUUAGGAUUUGAUUGAAAACGAGCAAAUAAACAUACGCUGAAUUGAGUGUCAGGCUUGCUAGUUGUUAAAUAGCGUACUAAUCCGAUCAUACCUUUAUAGAGCUUUUGAUCAACAUCAUUUCCUUUUUCAUCUAAAUCUAGUUUGGUGGAUGGACUCAUUGGUGUAUAAAUUGAUUUCAACUUUAGCAUAUCAAACUUUUUGAGCAUGUCUUGAGUGUAUCUUUCUCAUUUGAUGAAGAUUCCUUUUUCACUUUGUUUAAUUUGAAGUCUAAGAAAGUACUUCAACUCACCCAUCAUGCUUAUCUCAAAUUCACCCUGCAUUUCUUUAGCAAAGUUCUUGCAUACAGCCUCAUUAGUUGCACUAAAUACAAUGUCAUCCACAUAGAUUUGAACUAUAAUUAAAUCCUUUAAGUAUCUUUUAAUAAACAAUGUAGUAUCAAUGCUACCUCUAACAUAUCCUUUUUCAACCAGAAAUUUUGAAAGCCUCUCAUACCAAGCUCUAGGAGCUUGUUUCAAUCUAUACAAGGCUUUAUGAAGUUUGAAAACAUGAUCUGGUUUUUCAAAGUCUUUAAAUCCUGGUGGUUGUUCAACAUACACUUCCUCUUGAAUGAAUCCAUUUAAAAAUGCACUUUUUACAUCCAUUUGGUAUAAUUUAAAAUUCAUAAAGCAUGCAAAAGCAAGCAACAACCUUAUGGCUUCAAUCCUAGCAACUGGUGCAAAGGUUUCAUCAUAGUCAAUUCCUUCCUCUUGGUUGUAUCCUUGGGCUACUAACCUAGCUUUAUUUCUAACUACAUUUCCUUGCUCAUCUACCUUAUUUCUAAACACCCAUUUUGUUCCAACAAUCGGGUGGUUUAAAGGCCUAGAGACUAAUGACCACACAUGGUUUCUUUUGAAUUGAUCAAGUUCCUCUUGCAUGGCCAAUAUCCAGCUUUCCUCUUUUUCUGCUUCCUCAAAUGUCUUAGGCUCAAUUUGAGAUAUGAACGCUAAAAACUCACAAGUCUUUCUUGUUGCUCUCCUAGUCAUAACUUUUUGAGAAAUGUCACCUAUGAUUUGUUCUUGUGGAUAGUCUUUUGCAUAUCUCCAACUCCUUGGAAGAUUAUUAUACUGAAUUUCUAUUCUUUGCAAAUUUUCUAAAUGUGGAGUUUCAUUUUCUCUUCUAGGUGAGCUUUCUUCAUUAUUCUUAUUGUUCUCUAAGCUCAUUUCUUCCAUUUGCUUUUCUAAGAUCUCUACAUCAUCAUCAUCAGCAUGAAUUUCCUUUUGUAAGGCAUUGGACUCAUCAAAAACUAUAUGGAUUGAUUCUUCAACAGUUAAAGUUCUUUUAUUGAAAACUCUAUAAGCUUUUGAGUUUAAUGCAUAUCCUAAAAAUAUUGCUUCAUCACUCUUUGCAUCAAACUUACCUAAGGACUGUUUUCCAUUAUUUAACUCAAAACAUUUACAACCAAAACUCCUAAGGUGUGAAAUAUUUGGUUUCCUACCCUUGUAAAGUUCAUAUGGAGUCUUUGAUAUCAUGGCUCUAAUUAAGACUCUAUUAAGUAUAUAUGCUGCUGUGUUCGCUACCUCAACCCAAAAAUAUUUUGGUUGGUUAUUCUCACAUAGCAUAGUUCUAGCCAUUUCUUUUAAGGUUUAGUUUUUCUUUUCUACAACUCCAUUUUGCUAGGGUGUUCUAGGUGUAGAAAAAUUAUGAUCCAACCCUUUUUCAUUGCAAAAAUUCUCAAAUUCAUCACUUUCAAACUCUCCUCCAUGAUCACUCCUAAUACUAACUAUGGCUAGUCUUUUUUCAUUCUUAACUUUCCUACAAUGACUUAUAAAUGCUAGUAGAGCAUCAUUCUUAUGAGUAAGAAAAUAAACCCAAGUGUACCUAGAGUAGUCAUCAACUAUUACAAAGCCAUAAGAUUUUCCUCCUAGACUAGUUAUACUUAUUGGACCAAAUCGAUCAAUGUGCAGCAAUUCAAGAGGUCUAGUUAUUGACACAAUCUUCUUAGUCUUAAGGGAUGUUCAAACUUGUUUUCCUAGUCGGCAAGCAUCACAUAUUUUAUCAUUUUAAAAUUUUAUAUUCGGUAGUCCAACUACAGUACCCUGUAUUUUGAUAUGGUGGCUAAUAAAGUUUGCAGAUGCCAAUUGAGGUUAAUUACUGAGUUAAAAAGGGUAAUUCAGAAGUGAACCUAUGAAAUCUUGAUCUCCAUAGACACAUAACUAGAAGUAGACGCGAUAAUGAGAACCAGGGAUAAUUUUGUAAUUUUUUUUAGUGAGCUCUUACGAGUGGGUUUUUUUUAUGCUAUUAAUAUGAGACCCCAACCUAUAUAGACUUGUAACUAAGCAUAGAUGUAAUAAUACGAGGUAGGGGUAAUUUUGUCAUUUUCUCUAAUAAGCUUUCAGAAGAAAGUUUUAUGAUAUUUUAAGGUCAAAAUGGGUAUAAGACUGCAUAAAUGAUUUGUGCUGGUGAAAACACGAAGAAAUCUAGAAAUUUCAAUAAUUUUCAUAACAGGGGCAAAAUGGUUAUUUUUCACGUUGGGUUAAAAUUUUAAGUUUUUAUGAACCUGAACAUGUUUAGACCAUUAUGGACCUUGUCCCAGUAUUAAAAGAGCAAAAAGAUUGCAUAAAAGAUUGGAGGAGAAUAAGUAAAAAUGGUGGAGGGGCAUUUUCGUAAUUUUAAGGAAAAAGAUAAGAUUGGCUAUAAAUAUCUUGAAAUUUCCAACACCUUCUUGAAUUUCUAGCAGCUGGUCUUUUUCUUCCCUUCUCCUCUCUCACAUUUCUUCAAUGUUUUCAUGAGAGUUUUCUUCAAGCUUCCAUAACUUUCUCUCUCUAGCUCCAAUUUUCAUGCUUUUGGUGUACUCUUCCAUAAACCCUUAUGCUUUUUCAUCCUCUCACUAUAAAACCCUUCAAAAAUCUGAUUUUCAUACUUUCUCUCACUAGUUGGACAUUCUAGAGAGAGAAAGAGAGAAUUACACCAUUUAUUUAGAAGCUAUUAGGAAAGAAUUUGACUACAAAGGAGCCCUAGGGUAAGUGAUGAAUUAAGCUUAGUUUUUAGCUGCAAAAAAUGGCUAGUAAUUGGGAUUUAUAAGCUGUUUAUUGUUGAGUAUGUUCAUUACUUUUAGUGAUUAAGAUAGUGAACAUAGAUGGCCAUUUAAUGUGGCAAUUGAAAACUAGCUAAGAAAUAGCUUUUAGGGUUCAUAGUGUGUAAAAUUGACCUAUUGCUUAUGCUAAUGUGAUCCUAGGUUCUAAGGAAGCCCCAUCAUCCCAUUUGGACAAUUAGAGGAAUUAGAGUCAUCUAAAGGCUUUACAAUCAAUUAGUGAGUGGACUGCCUAUCAAAAUUAUUUUGGAAAUAUGACUGUUUUGAACAAAGUGUUUGAAUGAUUUUAUACAACUUUUCUAAAAAAUGAAUGCCUUGGGAACAAGCUCUUGUGAAAUGGUUUAUGUUAUGAUAUUUUGGUUAUUACGGAUUUCUAUGUGGCUGCAUUAUGUUGAUAUACAUAUAUGCUUGAAUAUAAUGUUGUGUAAUUAUAUUGACUCGGCUAUGUGUGAGUAGGGAGUGCGCAUAAAUCGAGGAUGACUCAGUUAUGUGAGAGUAGGGAGUGCGCAUAACCCGGUGAUGACCCAGCCAUGUGCGAGUAGGGAGUGCGCAUGAGUUGGUGAUGAUAAUGAUGGGAUGGUGUGCAUGAUGAUGAUGGGAUUGUGUGCAUGAUGGUGAUGGGUAUAUGUAUAUGUAUACAUACGUAAACAUGUGUGUUAUAAGAAAUUUAUGAGUUAUGUAUAUGGAUGUAAUGUAUGUGGGAUUUAGUAUGUUAAACUUUGGGAAGUUGUUAUGUAUUUCUUAUUGGUUUUGAACAUUUCAAGCAGGGUGGUUUUCUUUGGGAGAAAUAGAAAUUUUCGUUAGGUGCCUUGUAUUUCGCUGUAGCGAGAAACUCUUAGGUUUGAGAACCUUCACCAGAACUGGUUCUCGCUGCAGCGAGAAUGUAUUUCGCUGCAGUGAGAUAGUCACUGUAGCUUAUCGCUGCAGCGAAAAGGAAUCUCCCUGCAACGAAAAACUCUCUGUUUCAUCAGUUGAAUUUCGCUGUGGUGAGAAAGAAUUUCGCUGCAGCGAGAAACCUUCUGUUUCUGGGUUACAAUUUUGCUGCAGCGAGAAAGAAUCUCGCUACAACAAAAAACCUUAUGUUUUGGUCUCCUAUCUUGUCCAAUUGCUGCCUUAUCUUUCACUACUUUGCUACCAUAUCGGAGCAUGGACUUUCAACAUUAAGGAUUAGAUGAGUUAAGUUUAAAAUGGGGAGGUUCAGUGAGAAACCCUCGGCCAGUUUAGAAACCCUCGUUCGGCUAAUAACUAAAUCCCAACGUCGUUGCAACGGAAAUUCAUUCUCGCUGCAGCAUAGCUGCAGCUAGAAUGCUUUUUCGUUGCAGCAAAGAUUCGUUGUCGUAUUUGACUUGCUUGUGUAAUAUUGAAGCUUUCAUUCUUCAAAUGGUUCGUUAUGUAUGGGUUCAUGAUUUUCAAAGGAUUAAUCAUUUAAGGGCUUGAUGAGGGGUUUUUAAUAAGAAUUGAAACAAAUUGCAUUGUUUUGAAAAAGAAUGCAUCAUGAUUUCAUUAAAGAUUCCUUAUGGUAUGCUCGUUCCCUUCCUUAUUCACUCACUGGGUUUAUACUCACCGUUUUUAACUUCAUGUUUUCAGAUCACGAGGCAGCAGGUAAUUAGGAUGAGGUGUCCUUGUAGACUUAUAUCCAUCUUUUGGUAGGUGUCUCGGCAUUCAGUAGCUGUACAUUCGUCCGAGUCCCUCUGCUGGAAGUCAAAUCUUUUUUUUUUUAGAUGUAUAGACAAACUUGAUGUAAAUUAUUAAGAUACAUGUUGUAGGCAAUGUACAUUUAAUUGAUAUGCCAGUAUGAGUUGGCGAAUGUUUAAUUUUAUUAUGAUUCUAAGUUAUGAAAUAGGACUUAGUAGUUAUGAUGAAUGAUGAGUACGUUAGAUUAAUAGGCUUGCUUGGGCUUAGUGGAUUACAUCCAUUGGGCCCAUGCGCUGGUCGUGGCACGAAAUUUGGAUCGUGAAAAUUAAGGUCUAAAUAGGCCUAAGGAAUGAAUAAAUGAUGUUUAUGAUGGUAAAUAAAUGAAGAAGAUAAAAAUAAUGAUAAUUUCCAAGGAAGGGGCAAAAUGGUCAUUUUGCAUCUUGAGUCUAAAUUUUUAUGCUUUUUGUGAACUCGAGUAUUUCUAGACUAUUAUGGACCUUGCCUUAGUGUCAAAAGAGUAAAAGGUUGCACAAAGGAUGAGAGGAAGAAAAAGUCACCAUGUUAAGGGCAUUUUGGUAAUUUAAGUGAGAAAUGGAUAAACUUUAUAUAUAAAUAUCUAAAGCUCCAGCAAUUUCUAGCAGCUUCCAAUCACUUUUUCUUCCUUCCCCCUCUCACGUUUCUUCAUCUCCAUGAGAGCCUUCCUUAAAGCUUCCAUAACUUUCUCUCUCUAGCUUCAAUUUCAUGCUUUUGAGCACUUUUUAAUAGAACCUUUUGUGCUCUUUCACUCUCUCACCUUAAAACCCUUAAAAAAGUCUUACUUCCAUCUUCCUCUCACUAGCUGGACAUGUAGAGAGAGAGAGUGAUUUCCCUUGUUAGCUUGAAGAAUUUUGAAAGAGAAUUCAACUACAAAGACCAUCAAGGUGAGUAUAAGUUAGGGUUAAAUUUCUUUAGUUGUUGAUAAUGGCUAACAAUGGGGUUUGUGAGUAUUUUAUCAUUGAGGUUGUUUAUUCACUCUUAGGGUGACUAGAGUAGUGUGAAUAACUAGCCAUUUAAUGGCAAUUGGAAGCUAGUUAGGAAUAACUGGUGGAACUUGAUUAGGAAAGAGCUUUUGGAUUAUAUUAAUGCCAAUUUGGGUUAGUUGUGAUGUUGUGUGUGUAUAGGUUCCAACAAGGCCUCACAGGUCCAUUUGGAGUAUUAGUUGAGGUUAGAUUCAAGCAAAAGAAUCAACAAGACCGGUGAGUGAACUUGCAUUUCAAAAUUUGCUUUGGGAGAUGUAAAUGUAUUUGGAUGUAACAUUUGAAUGAUUUUAUCCAACCUUUGUUUAAAAAUGCGUGUCGACGAACAAGCCCUUGAUAAAAUGCUUUGAUGUUGUGAAAAUGUGAAAUGUGUAAAAGGAUGAAUCCAUGUGCUCCUAUAUUAUGUUGAAAUGUAUGUAUAUGAAUAUACAUUGUGCAUUGAUGAAUAAUGUUGUCUGAGGAUGUUGAAGUGUGUGAGUAGGGAGUGCACACUUGAUGAUGAUUGCAUAUGUAUAUAUAUGUGUGUGUUAUAGAAAGUUAUGAAAAUAAUUGUGAUUGUGUUGCAAGUUGGCAUUGUUAAUUGCUCUCAAAUUGCUUUUCAUUUCAACAAAAAAUGGCUUUUAAUGUAACAAGACCCAUUUCAAUUAAAAUGCUCUAUUUCUCACUGCAACAAGAUUCAUUUUCGCUAUAGCGAGAAACUCUCGGGUUUUGGGGGUCACACUAGCCUGAUUCUCACUGCAGUGAGAAACUCUCAAGUUCUAGUGCAAUGCUUUCACUUUGAUAAAGAUUUUGACAACCUUCCCACCCGAAUUGGGAAAAGUGGUAAACAUAAAAGUUUAUCCCUGCCUCUUAUCUUUCUAAUGGUAUAAAAAUAAGGUCAAUUGAACUUUUUUAGUGGGAUAUAUGAUAGAAAAACUGAAACAUAUGCAAACUAAGACUGUUUCUCGCUGCAACGAGAAACUUGGUGCCAUGCUUGCUACCUUGCUUGAUUUUGACCUAUUUUUCACCCAUUUAACUUCAUGGAUUGAUCAUGGGUUUUUCCAACACUAUGAGGUUAUUGAUCAAAGUUUGAAAUGAUGGGUUUUUAGUAAGAAAUUAAAUCAAUUGCAUUGUUUUUGAAACAAGUGCAUCAUGAUUUCCAAAUUCCUUCUAUCGAUUGCUUGUUCCCUUCUUAUGUUCACUCACUGAGUUUUAUACUCACGUUUUUAAACUUCAUGUUUUCAGAUUUGGAGGCAGUUGGGACCUAGAUUGAGUUGUCUACUAUGCUCGCCUUUUUGGUAGGUACUAUGGCAUCUCAGUAGCUGUACCUUCACCCACGGUCACUCCGCUAACGGUCAAGGGUCUGUUACCUGUGAACGAGUAUAUGUAAUGUAAUCUGCUAGGAUCCAUAUUAUAAGUCAAUUAUGUAUAUUUGAUUAUCGAUGCCACUAUGAGAUGGCAAACGGCUGACAUUAUUUUGACAUAAUAAAAUUGUGAGUUUUGGUCACUAUAGAAUAUUACUAAAAUAUUUUUAGUUCAGAAUUUCAAUAUAUAGUUUUAGAAAUGAUGGCUAGGAAUGAUGAUCUGGUUUGCAUAAAAAGGCUUGCUUGGGCUUAGUGGGCUAUGCCCAUUGGGCCCAUGCAUCGAUCAUGGCCCGGUAUUUUGGCUGUGACACCAACAACUAGAUUUUUCUUAAUUAAUUUUGACAUAGUAUGCAUGCUCACAUGUCCUACUCUCCUAUGCCAUAGCCCACUAUCAUUUUUAGCAUUUGCCACUAAACACAUUUCACAAUUCAUUUCAAGAUCUUCAAGAAAUACAACAUACAUAUUCUUUAAUCUUCUUCCUAUAAAUGAGACUUUAUUAGUGCUUAUAUCUAUCACUUCACACUUAUUUGAAUCAAAGCAUACUUUAAAUCCUUUAUCACACAAUUUACUAAUGCUCAAUAAAUUAUGUUUCAAGCCUUUAACCAAUAACACAUGACUGAUUUGAGUUUGGGAGUUCUUACCAGCCGUUCUUAUACCAUGGAUUCUACCUUUUGAAUCAUCACCAAAGGAUACGGUUCCUCCCUUUCUUUUGUCCAGCUUAGCAAAUAGCAUUUCAUCUCCUGUCAUGUGCCUUGAGCAGCCACUAUCCAUAUACCAAGGCUGCUUCUACUUGAGUUGAGCUCUUGAACAUGUCUCCUUUAAGUGCAACUCAACCUACAAGACAGAUUUUCAAUUUUUCUUUAUAGGUACCCAUACCUUGAUGGGUCCUUAAUUGUUAGUUGCAAUAUAGGAUCCUUUUGGAACCUAUAUUUUUCUUAUUUUCUGUGUGCUUCUUUUCUUAAAAUAAUCAUAUGAUAAAUGACCAAGUUUAUUACAAAUAUAGCAUCUAGAUAAUGCAUUAGCAGAGUUUUUCUUGUAGUAUACAUUUCUUUUUGAAGUUUCAUUUUUCAAACUUUUUAGAGCUAUGUUUUCAUCAAGUGUUUUUUGCAAAGCUUCAGAUUUAUUGUCCAGCUCUAAUUUUAAAACUUCAAAAUCUAUUUUUGAAUGUUCUAACUCAACUUGUAGAAAAUUUCUUUGCUCAAAUAUAUAAUUGAACUCUUCUCUUAUCUUUUCCAAAUCAUUUUUAAGAGAUGCAGCCUUUUUCCUUAAAGUCUUGUAUUUUGAAAAGAGUUUUUCAAAUUCAUCAUAAAUGCACUCAUACUCUUCUUAUAAAUCAUCAAUGGAAAUAUUGCAAGGGGAUGAGGAUACCUUGGAUUCAUCAUCUCUGGUGAUUAGACAUAAAUUUGCUCUUUCUUUAGCUUUUUCUUCUUCAACAUUUAAGCUUGAAGUAUCAUUGUCUGACCAUGUUGCAGCCACCAUUGACUUCUUCGAUUUUUUGCUUUUCUUUGGCUUUUCUUCCUUUUGCAUCUUUGUUUCUCCAUAUAACUCUUCUAAUUUUUGCCAAAUUUUCUUGGCACUUUUGCACAUGGACACUUUAUCAUAUUCUCUAAAAUCAAGUGCACAAAUGAAAGUGUGCAUGGCCUUAGAGUUGAUUUGUGCUCUCCUCAUUUCAGCUUCUAUCCAUUUAUUUCUAUUUUUGGGAGUUUUCUUACCAUUGACCAAAUUAAUGAUCAUAGGAAUGAAAGGACCAUCAGUAAUGACAUCCUAUAUCUCAUAAUCUAUUACCCUAAUAUAUAUUGACAUUCUAGUGCUCCAAUAAGGACAGUUAGAUCCAUCAAACAAAGGUGGUCUGUUUGUUGAUUGUCCCUCAGUAACUACUAAUUUUUGUAGAGCCAUUUGGAUCUUCCCAAGGGUGUUAGAUCUUAAUAACAAGGGUUGGGCUCUGAUACCACAUGUUGGUCACAAGUAAAUGUGCUAGAGGGGGGGUAAAUAGCACAAUUUGGCUCUUAACAAGAUGAAGAACUAAUAUGAAAAGUAAUGAAAAUAAAAACAAAGUAAACAAUGCGUAGGAAUUUAGAGUGGUUCGGUCCAAGACCUACAUCCACUAUUUUGAUUAUCCAACCAAGGAUUUUCCAAACUAAUCCACUAUGAACCGGUGAAAUUCACAAGCUUUUACCAAGUUUGACAAUGACUUUUACCAGGCUUAGCCAAGACCUUUCAUAAUGGUUUUUACCGGGAUCAACCAAAACCCAAAGUGAUUUUUCAAAGGCUCAACCACAACCUUUCACAAUGGUUUUUCAUAGGCUCAACCAAAACCCAAAGUGGUUUUACAAAGGCUCAGCCACAACCUACAAUAAUGGUUUUUCACAAGAUCAACCAAAACCCAACAACUAACUUUUUAAGGCUAAGUUAGAACCUAUACACUCAAUCAUACAAUCCAAGCUUGAAUAAAUCCCUUAGAGUGACUCCCUCACUUUAAGAAUACAAAGAGAAAAGUAAUGAGAAUGUACCUAUGAUCACACGGUUGAUCUAAGUGGUACAAGUGAAGUGCAUAUCACAAUUACAAGGAUGAGAGUUGAGUGCAGUAAAUGAGCAUUGAGUAUUUGUAGGUUUUUCAACUCUUUUUGUGUUCUUGGAAACCUUCAUUCCAUUUCUAGCCGUUGGAACCCUCUUUUAUACUUGAAAAACCAGCUCUGAUGUGAGUUAGACAGUUUUUGACCGUUGGGAAUAGUUUGGUAGCAAUUAUCACCAUUAAUCUCUCUUCUAGUGCACAAUUCAAAAUUUUGGCAGAAUGCUUUUAGUCAACUAAUCGAUAUCUUAGUCGACUAAAUUGUCUCUGUCUUCUUAUCCCAGUUUUUGAUAGUUCUGGCAGUGUGCAUUUAGUCGACUAACUCAUUCCUUGGUCGACUAAGUUGGUUUUGUUUCUCAAUACUCUUCAGCCCGCCAACUUUUGAUUUAAAUCUUAGCUGACUAACUCUUCAUUAAUCGACUAAGCGGCUUUUGUCUUGUUGAUCAAUUAUAACUUCCUUAUUUCUAUGCUCUUUGAUAUGUGCAUUUGAAUGAUUGAUUAAUAUUUGCAUUCAAUUUUUGUUCUGCACACUCAAUUAGAAAUGUUAGACACAAAUGAAUGGGAAUGUUUUAUUAUCAUCAAAAACUAAUUGAGCCAACAAACUAAUUGCCUUAUUAUUCUUUUUACCCUUAGCAAGCAUGAAUAUUGUUGUAAUAUUAUGUGGAAUUCUUGUGCAUAACGUCAUUUUAAAAUGUGAUUUCCAUAUUUGAGCACUAUGUUUCUUAUUUUGUUUCAUGAUGUACAUUUAAAGAAUGAAUAUGUGAAUGUAAAUUUUCAAACUACAGUUAGAAUUUUAGAAUUUGUUUGAUCAUUCUUUGAGGUGAAAUUCUAGGUUAUACUUAGCUAGGAAAUGACUUAGGCCAGUUUUGGAUCAAUUGGGCUUUUUCAAGCUACCUUAGUCAAAUUUAUCCUAGUACACUUCUAUGAGCCUCAAAUUUAUCUUUCUCUCUGUCAACUAGAAAUCAAUUAUCCUACCUUGUAAAUAAAUUUCCAAUUCCAUUAUCUUCACUCCUAAGCAAAUUAUAUUGUUUUAGGAUUUAUAUGGAUAAAAUGUUGAAAAAGUAGAAAGGAUGAGUGAGAAAAAAUUUCAACCAUGAUGAGAAGCAUUCAUUCUACUAACGUCAAAGAAAACAAGUUUGAAGGGAUGUUGAAUUGUGAAUAAAAUAAAAUUUAUGCUUGAUGAAUGAAAAGUGACAUUUAUAUCUAGGUUUAAUUUUAUUAUUAGACUUAUUAAAAUUUGCAAGAUAAGUCCUUAAUAUUAUAGCAAUUAUAAUAUUUAACUAAUCCAUAAUUAAACCCCUUUAAUUAGGUCCUUAGUAGUUAAAACUUAGAAUUUGAUUUAAAGCUAACUUAAAUCAUCACACUCUCAAUUUAAUCCAAAUUGAAACCUUUGUGUGUGACCGACUAGGUUCCUAACUUGUAGGGAAUGGAAUUGAAUUAUAAUUUUAUUAAUUAAUUAAUUUAAAUGAAUCAUAUUCAAUUUUAAAUUAACUAAUUCAAUUCCAUAUACCAAGAUUGAUGUCUAGCAAUGCAUCAUGGCCAUCCAAUUAUUAGGAGAGUCAAAGGAUUCUUUGACAAGUUUUCAGUGUACAUUUUAUCAGUGUCAUUCAAUCCCUCAUCAUAUAUCUGUUGGUAUAUGCCCUUCAGUCAAUUGUACUGGUCAAGGAAUAUAUACUGUCAUUUAAUGCAUACUUAAGUGCAUAACUAUAUUUGGUAGAGGUUUUUCUUCAUGUUAGUACAUUAAUAAGGAGUUAUUAAGUACUAAUUGGAUGAAGCCCAUGGAACAUAAAGGCUUUACAAGAGAAUUGUAAUAUAAUUAUGAGAUCAUUAUGCAUCAAAGCCAUGUUCUUAAAAUUAUUCCUCGUUAUUCUAUUGUCAAGGUAGGGCAUUGACAAUGCUAAAAGACUAGUAUAUGUUAAGCCUCCUUAUUAGGGAAGUAAGCAAUUGAUCUCAUAGAUUGAAUUAUAUGGGAUACUUGAGGAUAGCAUGUGGGUGCUUGUUAAAGAACAAGUUCAUUGAACAUGACCUGCAAUAAGAACUCCAUUUGGUAUUUUACUCAAGUGUUUAUGGAAUAUGUUCUCAUGUGAUAGUUGUGCAACUAGUCCUCAGAUGUGAGACAUUAGGCCAUCUUGUAUGAGGAAUGACAUACUUAUGAUUUCACCUCUAUAGGUAUAAAAGUGACCAGAUGCCUAAAUAGGUUGUUUUUGGGUAUGCCAUGAGGCAUGCAAAGGUGGAUGAGUGAUCAAGAGAGGAUUCAUCACCCCAAGUGAUAUGAGGGGAUGUAUCUCACUUAUCCUCAAUUCUAGAUUAACUUGUAUGAAGUCUUUGGCCAAAGCAUGAUGAAUUUAAGGAAAGUUAGUUUCCUAAAUUCAUAAAGUAAGUCAUGAAUUAUGAGAACUAAUAUGGAAUGUCAUAAGUAGACACUGAGCCAUGCUUUAUGACAUAUCCGGGAUAUUUGAUGAAAAGACCGUAUUGCACUGAGAGGCUUAUCACUGAAGGGGUUUGUCAAAUUCUUUAAUUGACUCUUUAACAUUUUGGUGGUCAUGCUGUAUUGCUAGAUGUUGUUCAUGAUCUAUAAAUAUAAAUCAAUUAUCAAAUUGAGAUUUGUUAGGAUUUAUAUUUAUUGCCAACACGUUGGAAGCCUAAUAUCACAGCCCAAAUCCCGAGCCAUGACCGAUGCAUGGGCUCAAUGGGCAUAGCCCAUUAGGCCCAAGCAAGCCUCUUUAUGAGAUCCUAUUCCUCAUUCCAUCCAUCACCUUUAAAACCAUGUGUUGUAAUUCUCAACGGUGAAUGUUUCAGUAAUAUUUUAUAGCAACCGAAUAUUCAUAUUCGUAUUUUCUCAAAGUACUGUCAUUUAUUGCCAUCUCAUAAGGGCAUCAUCAUCAAUCCAACAUAUACAUACAUCAUUUAUAACAUGACUCCUAGUAGUUUACAUUACAUAUAUGUAUACACAAACAAAAGACUCUCAACCGUUAGCGGAGUGACUUUAAGUGAAGGUACCGCUAUUGAGAUGCCAUAGUACUUACCAAGAGGAUGAGCAUACGUGGACACUCAAUCUAGGUCCCAACUGCUAGGAGCGGCAUGAUUAGAGCAUCAACGCAGUUGCAUAAAAAAAUUAAAAUAAUAAAAAAAUAAAAAUCACGCCUCCUACAUUUGGAUCAUCUUGGUUGUUUAAUGCAAAGUUAUGUACCACAUAAAAUCAGAAAAAGAAUGUACCUUUCCAAGUGAUAUCGUAAUCAAAUGGAUUCCUUUUGGUGACAAAACACAAACACCUUUGGUGUAAAAGAAUCCCAGCCACUCAAUCACUUGGCCUCCAAUAAUGCACACACGAUUGCAACGGAUCCUUCUCAAAGAGAGAGCUUUAUGCCACGGGCUUGUGCUAGCAAGUGGACAACGAUUUGUCGUCUUUUCUUCUUUGAUUUCCAACAAAGAAUCAAAGGAGAAGUUUUCAAAAGAAAAUAACCAUCUUAAAAGUGGCAACACUCAAGAGAAAAAUCCUUCUCCACAAAAAAGAGUGGCUAUAAUGUGAUAUUUAUAUCUAGGUUUAACUUAUUAAAAUUUGCAAAAUAAGUCCUUAAUAUUAUAACAAUUAUAAUAUUUAACCAAUACCUAAUUAAACUCUUUUAAUUAGGUCCUUAAUAGUUAAAACCUAGAAUUUGAUUUAAGUCUAACUUAAAUCAUCACACUCUCCAUUUAAUCUAAAUUGCAACCUUUGUGUGUGACCCAUUAAGUUCUUAACAUGUUGGCAAUGGAAUUGAAUUAUAAUAUUAUUAAUUAAUUAAUUUAAAUGAAUUAUAUUUAAUUUCAAAUUAACUAAUUCAAUUCCAUAGACCAUGAUUGGCAUUUAGCAAUGCAUCAUGGCCACCCAGUUGUUAGGAGAGUCAAAGGAUUCUUUGACAACCUUUCAGUGUAUAGUUUUUUAGUGUAAUUCAUUCCCUCAUCAUAUAUCCUGAAGAUGAUAAGAGCUUAGUGCAGUGCCUAUUCUUAUUGAUCUCCAUAUUUGUUCUUGCAAUUAGAUCAGUAGCUUUAUGCAGACUUAUGAAACUCAUUUCAUAAUCUCCUAAUCACCUUGGCCAAGGAUUUGAUUAAGCUAAUAUCAACCAAUAACUAAUGAGAUAUUUCCCUUUGAACACUUGGGGUGAUGGUUCUUACCUUGACCACUCAUUUGCCUUCACACUUCAUGCUAUACCCAAAAGCAUCCUGUUUUGUCAUCCUUGGUUAGGCACCCAUAGGGAUGAAAUCAAAGCAUAACACUUCACACAUAAGACAACCUGGUGUCUCAAGUCUAGGGAGUAUUUACAAAACUGACACAUGAGAAGUAUUGCAUAGACACUUGAGUGAAAUACCAAAUGCACUUCUCAUGGUGGGUCAUGUUCAGUGAACUCGCUUUCCCAUGGCAAGCACCCACAUGCUAGUUCCAGGUAUCUUUAUACUUCAACCUAUGAGAACGAUUGCUUACUUCACAAGUAAGGAACAUAACAUGUGCCAAUCUUUGAGCAUUAUUGAUGCCCUGUCUCAAUAAUACAAUGAUUAGGAACUUUUAGGAACAAUGCUUUAAUGCAUAAGGAUCUCAUAAUUGUAUCCCAAUACAAUUCCUUUGCAAGGCAUAUAUAGUUCCAUGGGCUUUAUCUACAUAAGUACGAAAAGUAAUUAAAUCACAAACUUAUGGAUAAAGAACUACCUCAAUGUUAUUAUGAAUAACAAAAUGUCAUACAUGAAUAUCUCAAAAUUGUAAUUCCCAUACAACCACAGAUUGGCUUGUAGGGCUUAUAUUAAAAAUCUCCCACUAGCACUAAAGCUAAUUGCCUAUGUAUCUAAUACCAAUGUUCUCAACAUGACGAUCAUGCUUCUGCUGGGACAGUGCUUUAGUGAGAGGAUCAGCAAUAUUAUGCUCAGUGGGUAUACGCUCUAUGCAAAUGUCUCCUCUUCCAAUGAUCUCCCUGAUCACAUGGUAACGUUGCAAUACAUGUUUGGAUUUUUGAUGAGACCUUGGUUCCUUUGCUUGUGCAAUGGCUCCAUUGUUAUCACAAUACAAAGGUAUUGGAUCAACAAUACUAGGAACCACAUCUAGUUCAGUAAUGAACUUCUUAAUCCAAACUGCCUCUUUUGCUGCCUCAAACGCAGAGAUGUAUUUGGCCUCAGUUGUAGAAUCUGCAGUCGUCUCUUGUUUGGAACUCUUCCAACUCAUUGCACCUCCAUUGAGUGUGAACACAUAUCUACUUUGUGACUUGCUAUCAUCUUUGUCAGUUUGAAAGCUUGCAUCCGUAUAACCCCUAACUUGGAGUUCACCUCCUUCAUAAACUAGAAAUACACCCUUAGUUCUUCAUAAGUACUUCAGGAUGUUUUUCACAGCUAUCCAGUGACUUUGACCCGGAUUAGCUUGGUAUCUACUCGUGACACUUAGAGCAUAAGAUACAUCUAGUCUGUUGCAAAGCAUCGCAUACAUGAUAGAUCCUAUUGCUAAAGCAUAUGGGAUCUUAUCCAUGCGAUCUCUCUCUUCUUGAUUCUUUGGACACAUGUCCUUGGAGAGAUAGAUGCCUUGCGACAUAAGCAAGUGUCCUUUCUUGGACUCCAUCAUGCUAAACCUCUUUAGCACCUUGUCUAUGUAUGUGGAUUGGGAAAGACCUAGCAACCUUUUAGACCUAUCUUUAUAGAUCUUUAUUCCAAGAAUGUAAGUUGCUUCUCGCAAAUCCUUCAUGGAGAAUUGUUUUGACAGCCAAAUCUUUGUAGAUUGCAGCAAUGGUAUAUCAUUUCCUAUGAGUAAUAUGUCAUCAACAUAUAACACUAGGAAAAUUAUGGCACUCCCACUAACCUUUUUAUAGACACAUGGUUCAUCCUCAUUUUUGAUGAAGUCAAACCCUUUUACAGCUUCAUCAAAAUGGAUGUUCCAACUCCGAGAAGCUUGCUUAAGUCCAUAAAUGGACUUUUAAAGCUUGCACACCUUAUUAGCAUUAGCAUUGGAUAUAAAACCUUCAGGUUGUGUCAUGUACACUUCCUCUUGCAAGUUUCCAUUAAGGAAUGUAGUUUUUACAUCCAUUUGCCAUAUUUCAUAAUCAUGGUAUGCAGCAAAUGCAAGCAAAAUCCUAAUGGAUUUAAGCAUAGCAACUAGUGAAAAGGUUUCUUCAAAGUCAAUAACUUGUCUUCGUUUGUAACCUUUUGCUACUAGUCUAGCGUUAAAGGUUUGCACCUUGCCAUCUACAUCGGUCUUUCUCUUAAAGACCCACUUGCACCUAAUGGGUUUUAUCCCUUCAGAUGGAUCCACCAAAGUCUAUAUGUGGUUGCUAUCCAUGGCAUCCAUUUCAGAUUUCAUGGCUUCUAGCCAUUUCUCAGAAUCGAUGUCCAACAUCACCUCCUCAUAGGUUGUAGGCUCAUCAUUUAUGGGCAAUGCGUCCUUUUCCAAGAGAAAUCCAUAUCUCUUUGGAGCUUGACGUAUUCUACUAGACCUUUUGAGUAGUUGUGCCUCUUGAGAUUAUGGUUGUAUAUCAGAUGUCACAAUCUCAGGUUCAAGUUCCAAUGGAAUGUCAAUUUAUGGGUCUCGAACUUCUUCUAGUACAACUUUACUCCCACUAGCCCUUUCAUUUAAUAACUCUUUCUCAAGGAAAGUGGCAUGCCUUGAGACAAACACCUUUUACUCAAUGGGAUUAUAAAAAUAAUAUCUGUGUGUUUCUUUAGGAUAUCCCACAAAUUUACAUUUGUCUGAUCUUGCUUCUAGCUUAUCAGACAUUGUACGCUUCACAUAAGCAGUAUAUCCCCAAAUCUUAGCAUAAGACAAGUUAGGCCUUUUCCCACUCCAUAUCUCAUAUGGUGUCUUAUCAACUGAUUUGGUAAGAACCUGGUUUAGUAUGCGAGCAGCAGUUUCUAAGGCAUAUCCCCAUAAAGAUAUAGAAAGAUCUACAUGACUCAUCAUGGAUCAAACCAUGUCCAAUAAUGUUCGAUUCCUUCUCUCAGAUACCCUAUUGUGUUGUGGAGUCCCUAGAGGAGUCUAUUGUGCAAGAAUUCCAUUCUCUUUCAAAUAAUGCUAAAACUCUUGGCUAAGAUAUUCUCUUCCUCGAUCAGAUCUAAGAGUGAGAAUACUCUUCCUAGUUUUUUUCUCAACCGCCGCUUUGUAUUCUUUGAACUUGUCAAAGGAUUCAGAUUUAUAUUUCAUCAAAUAUACAUAACCAUAGCGAGAAUGGUCAUCUGUAAAGGUGAUGAAGUAGGAGUAUCCUCCUCUAGCACUACUAUUCAUAGGACCACAUACAUAUGAAUGUACAAGUUCUAGAAACACCCCAGCUCGUUCACUCUUUUUAGUGAACGGCGACUUGGUCAUCUUACCAAGGAGACAACACUCACAUGUUCCAUAAGAUUCAUAAUUAAAUGGAUCGAUGUAACCUUGUUUGUGUAACUUGGUUAAGUGAGUCUCAUUGAUGUGUCCAAGCCUACAGUGCCAGAUGUAGGAUAGUUUUGGAUCAUCUUUCUUUGCUUUUUUGACCUCUAUAUUAAGAAUAGGUCUCUUAGGAUCAAUAAUAUAGAGACCGUUCGAAUGUGUCCCUGCACCAUAAUGCAUCUCUCCCUUUGAGAAAGAACAACAAUUGCCCUUAAUGCAAAAUUCCAUAUCAUCAUAUAAUGCCAAGUAUGACACAGAUAUGAUAUUCCGAGAUAUGGAAGGAACAUAGUAACAGUCUCUUAAUUCCAAGAUCAACCCAAAAGGUAAAGGCAUGGUAAUUAUCCCUACAGCCGAUGUAGCAACCUUUGCUCCAUUACCUACUCUUAGGACCACCUCUCCCUUCUUUAAUCUUCUACUCGUUUCCAGCACCUUCAUGUCAUUACAUAAGUGUGACCCACAUCCAGUAUCUAAUACCCAUGAUGACGAAUCAAUAGUAGACAGAUUUACUUCAAUCAUAUACAUGGUCAAAGAUGAAACUUCUACAAGUUUCUCAUUCUUUGACCUUAUCAAGAAGGCAAGGAUAUCUUCCUUAAUGACAUCUAUUCUAAAUAGAUAUUUGAGAACACUUCUCAACUUGAUAUACCAGUCCAAACAUUUUGGCUCAAAUUUCAUGAUGACAUCAAGUAUGCCUCGCAAAGUAAUAUGUAUUCGCAUUCUAACAACCUAGACAUUUAAAGAAUGUUUAUGAGUAAUCAUGUAUUAUAAUCAAUUAAGAUGAGAUAGUAAAUCUUAAAUUGAUUGCUCCUACUAUUUUUUUCAAGAUGAUAACCCUUCAUAUCACCUCGAGAGAUCUCUACUAGGAUUCUCUUAGUGGGCUAGGAUCCCAUCCAUCUAGUCAUGGCCUUGAGUGUGCUCAACAAGCCAUGAUAGCUGGAUUAGGUAGGUAACUGAGCUUACCAAUUGUAUCUCUAUACUACUCCUAGAUCAGCUAGGUGACAACACAUUGCCUAAACAUAUCAUAUAUGUUUCGCCUAGCCAUUGCCUCUAGUUUCCAUAAUAAUCAAUUUUUCAAGCAUCUGAAUUUUAUGAAACUAGUUGAGUAAGACCCACCAUUAGCUCAAACAUACUCAUGUAAAAGUGAGACCUUGAGUGUGCUCAACAAGUCUUCCAUUAAAAGAGCAGCCAGGUUAUCUUGCUAUAUGGUGGAAGGAAACUUAAUCAUGUGUGGCAUGUGACUCAAUAUUUACUGAGGGAUUUUCUUAUUUUUUUUAACAUAGUUAAGGUCUCAUCUUUGCAUGCAUAGCCUUUAUUAAUUGCAUAAAUAAAUCUAUCUCAUGCAUACUACUUUGGAUGAUUAUGGACUUUAUCUAUACUAAUUUCCUUGAGCCAUUGAAGGAAAUUAGCUUGGUCAAACCUAGGGGAUAACAUACAACAUGUUGCAAUCUUUCUCCUUGUAUCUUCAUGGCACCUUUAGGUCUUCAUCUUCGAAUUGUAAAAUAACUCCUAAACUAAUCCUAAUUCUACACUUAUAUGCAACUAAUUACAUUUUAGUAAAGAAACCUCGUGGUACAUCCGAGGGGAGUUAGGUGAGGAAAGAAUUUUACAAUCCUUGAAAAUCAAGAGAAAGGCAGGGUGCGCAGACCCCAUUUAAUAAAUAAAUACCAUGAUACAAUUUAACCAUACAUCCACAAUCAUAUUGGGCCUAGUCCAUAAUCAUCCACAGACAUCCAUCCACGUGAACAUAAAAUUAAAACUGUCUUAUUCUAAUUGUUAAUCAUAUGAGGCAUCCGAAAUUAGUGUACAACUAAUUUCGAGUUCAUUUUUAAUUCCGUGUAUGGAAACAGUCUUCCAUGUAUGGAAAGUCUUUACUAAUCAGUAUUAGUAAUAUUAUCCAUUCCUAAUCUCAUUAGGAUUAGAAUUAAAAUAUUAUUACAAAUUAAAACAUUUUUAAUUUGUAAUCUUUAAACAUUUUAAGUAACUUUUACUAAUCCUUUUAAAUUAAAGAUUAUGUGUCUUCAAUUAUUGUUUAGUAAAUUAGAGUUUUUAAUUGCACCCAUUUAGGCUGCAAAUAUGGACACUAAAAUCCCAAAAACCAUGAUUUUACAAAAUUCUGGCAGCAGUGUACCAGUCACAGUUUUAUGGCUUGAUGCAGCACCAAAUCAGGGAAUUUAAUUCCCAAAUUUUACCCAUGGUCAGCUAACAUAUGGAACCUUUCCAUAUUAAAAUUUCAUAAUUUUUGGACUUGAUUUAGCUGGUCAACACCCCAAAAAACGCAGCCUAUGUAUCCUGUACAUAGCUGCAGUUUUUGGGUUGCAUAUGUGGCAUUAUGAUGGCAUAAAUCAAGGGAUUAAAUCCCUUAAUUUUAGUGAUCUUUCCAGGCAUCUUUUGAACAUAUUCAAACUUCAAAAUUUAUCCAAAAAGGUACAACAAUUGCACAAUUCUAGGACUCUUUGAAGAUGACUUUCUCAGCAAAAUCAUGACCUGAAACUACUGCUGACAGCAAUGGUUUCAGCCAUGAUUUCAUGGCCUUUCCUUCACCAUUUUCAGCCGGUAAUUAAUCAUAUUGAAAAAAUUUCAAUGUAGAUUACUUCCAAAUUUUUUCAGAAUUUUUGAAGGCUUUUAAACCCCUAUUAAAAACUGAAAAUCAAACCACAUGCAAAUCUGGACAGAAUCGAAUUCUAUCACCAAACCGCAUCUUGUUUCCCAUGUAUUUGAAUCCUUUUCUUGCUAAACUCUUUUGUGCAUCUCAUGCACAUAUUGUUCUGCAAAAUUGAGACACUUGAACAAGAUUAGUUGCUGAAACAAAUAAGUAUUAAAAACCAAAACUCGAAUAUGUGAUAAACUACUUUAAAACAUAAUCGAAAUUUCACACUUACUUGCUCGCUUCCAAAUCCCUCACGUCCAAUCAGAAUUGAAAUUAACAAUAACAAGACAUAACUUUGCAUUAAAACGAGUCAAGGGAGGCUCUGAUACCACUGCUAGGAACGGCAUGAUUAGAGCAUCAACGCAGUGGAAUAAAAAAAAAUUGAAAUAAUAAAAAAAUAAAAACCAUGCCUCCUACAUUUGGAUCACCUUGGUUGUCUAAUGCAAAGUUAUGUACCACAUAAAUCAGAAAAGGAAUGUACCUUUCCACGUGAUAUCAUAAUCAAAUGGACUCCUUUUGGUGACAAAACAUGAACACCUUUGGUGUAAAGGAAUCCCAGCCACUCAAUCGCUUGGCCUCCAAUGACGCACACACGAUUGCAACAGAUCCUUCUCAAGGAGAGAGCUUUAUGCCACAGGCUUGUGCUUGCAAGUGGACAACGAUUUGUCCUCUUUUCUUCUUUGAUUUCCAGCAAAGAAUCAAAAGAAAAGCUUUCAAAAGAAAAUAAACGUCUUAAGAGUGGCAGCACUCAAGAGAAAAAUCUUUCUCCACAAAAAAGAGUGGCUAUAAUGUGAUAUUUAUAUCUAGGUUUAACUUAUUAAAAUUUGCAAAAUAAGUCCUUAAUAUUAUAACAAUUAUAAUAUUUAACCAAUACCUAAUUAAACUAUUUUAAUUAGGUCCUUAAUAGUUAAAACCUAGAAUUUGAUUUAAGCCUAACUUAAAUCAUCACACUCUCAAUUUAAUCCAAAUUGCAACCUUUGUGUGUGACCCAUUAGGUUCCUAACAUGUUGGCAAUGGAAUUAAAUUAUAAGAUUAUUAAUUAAUUAAUUUAAAUGAAUGAUAUUCAAUUUUAAAUUAACUAAUUCAAUUCCAUAGACCAUGAAUGGCAUCUAGCAAUGUAUCAUGGCCACCCAAUUGUUAGGAGAGUCAAAGGAUUCUUUGACAACCUUUCAGUGUACAGUUUUUCAGUGUAAUUCAUUCCCUCAUCAUAUAUCCCGAAGAUGAUAAGAGCUUGGUGCAGUGCCUACUCUUAUUGAUCUCCAUAUUUGUUCUUACAGUUAGAUUAUUAGCUUUAUGGAGACUUAUGAAACUCAUUUCAUAAUCUCCUAAUCAACUUGGCCAAAGAUUUGAUUAAGCUAAUAUCAACCAAGAACUAAUGAGAUAUUUUCCCUUGAAUCACUUGGGGUGAUGAUUCCUAUCUUGACCACUCAUUUGCCUUCACAUGCUUCAUGCUAUACCCAAAAGCAUCUUGUUUUGGCAUCCUUGGUUAGGCACCCAUAAGGAUGAAAUGAAAGCAUAGCACUCCACACAUAAGAUAACCUGGUGUCUCAAGUCUAGGGAGUAUUUACACAACUAACACAUGAGAAGUAUUGCGUAGACACUUGAGUGAAAUACCAAAUGCACUUCUCGUGGUGAGUCAUGUUCAGUGAACUUUCUCUCCCAUGGCAAGCACCCACAUGCUAGUUCCAAGUAUCUUUAUACUUCAACCUAUGAGCACGAUUGCUUACUUCACAAGUAAGGAACAUAACAUGUGCCAAUCUUUGAGCAUUAUUGAUGCCCUGUCUCAAUAAUACAAUGAUUAGGAACUUUUAGGAACAAUGCUUUAAUGCAUAAGGAUCUCAUAAUUGUAUCCCAAUACAAUUCCUUUGCAAGGCAUAUAUAGUUCCAUGGGCUUUAUCUACAUAAGUACAAAAAGUAAUUAAAUCACAAACUUAUGGAUAAAGAACUACCUCAAUGUUAUUAUGAAUAACAAAAUGUCAUACAUGAAUAUCUCAAAAUUACAAUUCCCAUACAACCACAAAUUGGCUUGUAGGGCUUAUACUAACACCAACUGCCUCAAAAUCUAAAAACAUGAAGUUUAAAAACGUGAGUCUAAAACACAGUGAGUGAACAUAAGAAGGGAACAAGCAAUCGAUAAGGAAAACUUGGAAAUCAUGAAGCACUUGUUUCAAAAACAAUGCAAUUGAUUUAAUUUCUUACUAAAAUUCCCUCAUUUCAAACUUGAUUAAUAACCUCAUAGUGUUGCAAAAAACCCAUGAUCAAUCCAUGAAGUUAAAUGGGUGAAAAAUAUGUCAAAAUCAAGCAAGGUAGCAAGCAUGACAGCAAGUUUCUUGCUGCAAUGAGAAACAUUCUUAGUUUGCAUAUGUUUCGGUUUUUCAGGUAUAUAUCCCACUACAGAAUUCCAAUUGAUAUUAUUUUUAGACCAUUAGAAAGCUAAAAGGCUGGGCUACAACUUUUACGUUUAUCACUUUGCCCAGUUAUAACCGUAAGUAGUCAAAAUCCGUGUCAAAAUGAAGGUACUACACCAUAAAUUUUGGAACACCCGAGAGUUUCUCGCUGUAGCGAGAAACUUCAACAAAUUUCUCGCUGCAGGGAGAACUAGGUCAGUGUGACCCCCCCCCCCCAACUCUAAAGUUUCUCGUUGCAGCAAGAUUCAUUUUCGCUGUAGUGAGAAAUAGAGCAAUUUGAUUAAAAGGGGUCUUGUUAUAUCAAAAACCAUUUUCUUGUUGAAAUGAAAAGCAAUUUGGGAGCAAUUAACAAUGCCAACAUACAACACAAUCACAAUUAGUUUUAUAAACUUUCUAUAACAUAUAUAUAUAUAUAUAUAUAUGUAUACAUCAUCAUGCAUACCAUCCUGCCACACUCUGCUCAAUGCAAUAUCAUCAUCAUGUGUGCACUCCCUACUCUCACACUUCAACAUCAUCAUGUGUGCACUCCUUACUCGCAUACUCUAACAUCAUCGUGUGUGCACUCCCUACUCGUACACUUCAACAUCAUCACACAACAUUAUUCAUCAAUGCACAACAUUUAUUCAUAUAUAUACAUACUAACAUAAUAUAGGAGCACAUGGAUUCAUCCUUUUACACAUUUCACAUUUUCACAACAUCAAAACAUUUUAUCAAGGACUUGUUCGCCGACACACAUUUUUAAAGAAAGGUUGGAUAAAAUCAUUCAAAUGUUUCAUCCAAAUACAUUUACAUUUCCCAAAGCAAUUUUAAAAUGUAAGUUCACUCACCGGUAUUUGUUGAAUCUUUACUUGACUCCAACUUCGACUAUUGCUCCACAUGAAAAAGUGAGGCCUUAUUGGAACCUAUCACACACCAACAUCACAACUAACCCAAUUUGCAUAAUUACAAUUCUAAAAGCUAUUUCUUAAAUCAAGCCCCACUAAUUAUUCCUAACUAGCUUCCAAUUACCAUUUGACUGGCUAUCUAUUCUCUCUACUCUAGUAACACUAGAAAUAAAUAAACAAACCUCAGCAAUAAAACAACUCACAACUCCAAUUACUAGCCAUUAUCAACAACCUAAAAUCAAUCCUUAUUCAUUACUCACCUUGGUGGAUUUGUAGUUGAAUUCCUUCUCAAGAAUACUCAAGCUAUCAUGGAAAGUCUCUCUUUCUCUCUCUAAAAUGUCUAACUCGUGAGAGAAAGUGUUGAGGAAAGACUUUUAAGGGUUUUAAGGUGAGAGAGUGAAAGAGCACAAAAGGUUCUAUGAAAAAGUGCUCAAAAGCAUGAAAAUUGAAGCUAGAGAGAGAGAGAGUUAUGGAAGCUUUAAGGGAGGCUUCAAUGGAAGAUGAAGAAAACGUGAGAUGGGAGGAAGAAGAACAAGAAGUUGUUGGAAAAAUGAGGAAGCUGCUAGAGAAAUGAGAUAUUUAUAGCCUAAGCUUAUCCAAACUUCACUUAAAUUAUGAAAACGCCUUUAACAAGUUGGCUUUGUCUUCCUCCAAUCCUUUAUGCAAUCUUUUUACUCUUUUGACACUGAGAUAAAGUCCAUCAUAGUCUAAAAAUACUCGGGUUCACAGAAACUUAAAAAUUUUUACUUGAGAUGAAAAAUGACCAUUUUGCCUUUACCUUAGAAAUCAUCAUUAUUUCUAUUUCCUUCGUCAUUUUAUCCUUAUUUUCAUCAUUCAUUUAUGUCUUAGGCCUACUUAGGCCUUAAUAACAUUAGAAAGCUACUUCUAGGAGCUCACCAUGAGAAAUGACAAAAUUACCCCAAGUUAGUGAUAUCGCGUCUACUUCUAGCUACAAGUCUAUAAAAAUCAAGGUCUCACACCUAAUAGGUCAUGCACAUUAAGUGACAUGAUUGAGAGUAAAUAAGGAUAAUUAAUUAAGUUGGACUUAAUUGGAAUAGAACAAAAUAAAGUGAGAAAUUAAUUAAGUUCACAAGGACUUAAUUAAAUAAAAAUACAAUUGUUGUAUCUACGAUCAGAACUUAGUUUGGCUAUAUAAAUAUGUUAUGUUAGCCAACUAAAACUCUAAGCCUUAAACUACUUCUUAGCCAUUUCAUAAAAAUAAGAAAAGAAAAAUAGCUUUCUUUGUCUAACAGAAAUAAGAUUUGGCAAGAACUUUUGGUCUUUUUUGUUUUAGAAACAAAACUUGCUAGUACAUGUAAAAUCUUAAAUUUGAGAAGGUCUUAUUUGGUCACUGUGUGGAUUACUAUUAGAGGCCAAACACUUGGGUGGCUAAAGAUUUGACAAAUCCUAAAUGUGAAGAAGCAAAGAUUUCGAUUGCAGGAUUUCAGAUUGAUUUGUUCUCUUUUCUUGUUAUUUGCUUCAUCACAAGCCUUUUGGAUUUAAUUGGCUCUUGAUUAUGAUAUCUAAAGCAAGGUGCAUAAUACUUGAACCUAUGAGUGUUCAAAAUUAAUUUGAAUAUUACAUGAAAUACAUAAAUAUUAAUCUUGUGAGAUUCGACUGUUUCUUUGAUUAAAUGCAUAUUUUAUUUUUUGUUGUGUUAUUUUUUUAAUUUCUUCAUUAUUUUCAUGCCUAAGCAUGAGGUCGAAUCCCAGCAGUGGUAUCAGAGCCUUUGUUUGAUGUUUUUCAUGUAAUUUUUAUGCGUGGUUUUCGGUGAUAAUCAAUAGGAUUGAUUUGUGUGUUGAUUUUGUAUAUAUUGGUUUUGAAGGCUUUCUUUAAAAUCUAUUUUUUUGUUUUAAUUUAAAUUUGGGAAACAUGUAAUUAAUUCAUUAAAACAUGUUUUUAAAGGUUUAAAAUCAUAUAUAGUUGAAGAAUUAAUGAAUGGAUUAAAAGGCUUGCAAAGCCAAGUUAAACCGAAUAGUUUUGAGGAGUUUUAGAGACUAGUGUGCCGAUUAUUUUUACUAACAUUGGGUAAGUGUUGUGAGUAGUUUUUUAAUUGUAAAAAAAUGGUUUUAUCAAAGUAAAUUUGUCACAGCCCAAUUUUUUGAGUUAUGAUCGGUGCAUGGACCCAAUGGGCAUAGCCCACUAAGCCCAAGCAAGCCUUAUUAUAUGAUCUUAUUCAUCAUUAUAUCAAUCUUAAUUCUUAAUUCUCAAUUAUAAGUGUUACCGUAAUAUAUCAUAAUAACCAAAUACUUAUAUUUGCAUCAUCCUAAAAAUAGUGUCAUCUAUUGCCAACUCAUAGUGGCACCAUCAAUCAAAAUUGUGAGACCUUGAUCUUUAUAGACGCGAUAUCACUAACUAGGGGUAAUUUCGUCAUUUUCUUAGUGAGCCCCUAGAACUAUGCUUUCAAAUAAUAUUAAGGCCUAAGUAGGCCUAAGGCAUAAAUGAAUGAUGAAAAUAAGGAUAAAAUGACAAAGGAAAUAGAAAUAAUGAUGAUUUCCAAGGUAGGGGUAAAAUGGUCAUUUUUCAUCUAGAGUCAAAAUUUUAAGUUUUCAUGAACCUGAGUAUUUCUAGACUAUUAUGGACCUUGUCCUAGUGUCAAAAGAGUAAAAUAAUUACACCAAGGGUUGGAGAAGGACAAGCCAACUUGUUAAGGGCAUUUUCGUAAUUUAAGAAAAGAUUAGAUAAGCUUUAGCUAUAAAUAUCAUUUGUUCUAGUAGCUUCUUCAUUUCUCCAACAGCUUUUUCUUCUUCUUCCUCCUAUCUCACGUUGCUUUCAUUCUCCAUGGAAGCUUGUUUUGAAACCUCCAUAACUUCCCUCAAGCUAACUCCAAUAUUCAUACUUUUGUGCACCUUUUCAUAGAACCUUUUGUGCUCUUUCACUUUCUCACUUUAAAACCCUUGAAAAGUCUUACUUUCAUACUUUUUCUCACUAGCUAGGUUUUUUAGACAGAGAAAGAGGGAGCUUCUAUAAUAGCUUGAAAUUUCUUUGAAAAAAUUUCAACUAAACUGAUUAACUAAAAUUUAAACCAAUCAAGAAAAAUCAAAACUAAUAAUAACUAAAGAAAAUAUCAAAUUAAACGAGCUUAGGAUUACAAUAUCCCUCACACUUCAUCUAAAUCUUACCUUUCUUCCUUAACUUAUUUCAAUGGGCUGAAUUGCUAACCUAGAGUCCUAAAUUAUUUAUAAGGGUCUCCCGACUCAUCUUAUAAAAAUAUUUGUUUUAACCAAAACACUAUAUCCCUAUGUGAAUUAAAAUUAAAAUAGAUUCAUUAAGUUCAGGUUCUAAUCUAGCUGUAUAUGGCUUAUAGGUAUAUCCCUAUCCUAUACGCAAAUCAAUUAAUAUGAUCAUAUGCUAUCCUAAUUUUAGUCUACUCUAAACUCCCUUUCCCAAGUUUGUUUAGGUUCCUAUAUCAAUUUAAUUGGUGGCCAAGCAAUUAAAAGCAUUAAGAACAAAUUGGAAUAAACAAUUCAAAUCCCAUUAAAAAUAAGUAAGAAAGAGAUUAAAAAUUUAAAUUACAUGUGCGUUCAAUUGCAAUCCUAGAAAAAGAAAAUUAGCUACUCAUAAUUGCAAAAACAAAUAACAUUAUAAUAAAUUCAACCAUUGAGAGUAACAAGAAAAAUAAAAGCCAAGGAAGAAAACAAAACAAUAAUUGUCGCCUUGAUCUCCAAGUUUCAGCCUUAACUUCUAUCUUCUUGAAUCCCCAAAGGUUUUCUUAAAUGUUGUUAAAUAUAUCCUAUUUAUACUAAUAAGCUUAACCUAAAGUUCCUUAAGCUGACCUAGGGUUUAAUUAGGCUUAAAAGUGUAAUGAAAGGCCCAAAAAUCAAUUAUCAAUCUUUACAAAUUUCCAUUUAGACACAGUACAUUUAGCUAUUUUAUGACACGAUUCUCUAUCUUAAAGGUAGAACAUGGCAAAGUGAUCUGCAUUAAAGUUGUAUAUUUGUCUCCUAGCUUUCCAAUGGUCAAAGAAUCAUAUCAUUUGGAGUUUUGUAGCUCAAGAUAUGGCCAAUAUACUCAAGCAUAUGCAAGCAGAUUCUAGGUCUUUCAAAACCUUACUUUCCAAAAUUAAGCCCAAUCACUUUUACUUCUACAAAAAAUAUAAAAACUCAUAAAUAAUAAACAAAUUAAAAGAAAUAACAUAAAAUUAAAAUAACUAACUUAAAAAUAAACUAAUUAUAAAAACAACUAAAAAUAAAUAAAUUAUAAUUAAAAAUUAAGGACUUAGCUAAUAUUUACUAACAAAAUUGGACUAAAAUAAUUCUAUAAAAUAGAAUUAUCAGUCGAAUCUAAGCAAUAUCUCGAAAAUGAUAAGAGCUUGGUACAGUGACUACUCUUAUUGUAGUGAGUAAUCCAUAUUUGUUCCUACAGUUAGAUCAUUAGCUUUAUAGAGAGUUGUGAAACUCAUUUCAUAAUCUUCUAAUCACCUUGGCCAAAGAUUUGACUAAGCUAAUGUCAACCAAGAACUAUUGUGAUAUUUCCCCUUGAAUCACUUGAGGUGAUGAUUCUUAUCUUGGCCACUCAUUUGCCUUCAUAUGCUUCAUACUAUAUCCAAAAGCAUCUUGUUUUGGCAUCUUGGUUAGGCACCCGUAGUGAUGAAAUCAAAGCAUAGUACUCUGCAUACAAGAUAAUCUGGUGUCUUAAGUCUAAAGAGUAGUUACACAACUGACACAUGAGAAGAAUUGCAAAGACACUUGAGUAAGGUACCAAAUGCACUUUUCAUGGAGGGUCAUGUUUAAUGAACUCACUCUCCAAUGGCAAGCACCCACAUGCUAAUUCCAAGUAUCUCUAUACUUCAACCUAUGAGAGUGGUUGCUUACUUCACAAGUAAAGAACAUAGCAUGUGCUGAUCUUUGAGCAUUAUUGAUGCCUAUCUCAAUAAUUCAAUGAUCAAGAACUUUUAGAAAUAAUGCUUUGAUGCAUAAAGAUCUCAUAAUUGUAUCCCAAUACAAUUCCUUCACAAGGCAUAUAUAGUUCUAUGGGCUUUAUCUAUAUAAGUACAAAAAGUAAUUAAAUCACAAACUUAUGGAUAAAGAACUACCUCAUAAUUAUUAUAAAUUAAUAAAAUGUCAUAUACAAAAUGUAAUUCUCAUAUGACCAGAGAUUGGCUUGCAGGGCUCACACUAAUAGUGUACUUGGCAAAGAAAGAUAAGGUUAUAUAGAUCUUAGAAUAAUUAUAUGCUUAGGGUGAAUUAAACCUUAAUAUAUCCCAUAUCAUACCCUAACCUUGGUUGAACACUACAAGCUGAAUAAAGUCCUAAGAAUCCAUAGCUAAGUGAUGGCUUACAUUAGUGGAGAGGGAGGUGAAAAAUGAACAUAUGAAAUUUUAAGCUUGUUGAGAUUUGCAUGGACAUAAUCUUGUCCGAAGUGCAUGAUGUGCCAUAUAAGAAACUUUACACACACAUACACGAAAACUCAUUCAAAAAUUGGGCAUGCACUUGGAUGAAACAUGAACUUAGAUAGUAUCUAUGUUUGAAUUUGAGUUUGGAAGACAAGGUAAUUUAUGAGGAAAUUAAAGAUGAUUAAUGAUUUAGUGCACUCUCAUAGUUGAAGUCUUCAACUGUGUGGUUUCAUUUUUGCUUUUACGUGAGGACUAGCAAAAUAUUAAGUUUGGGUGUUUGAUAAAUUUAUAUUAUAUAGUUAUUUAGCCACAUUUUGAGGUGUUAAUGAAGCUAAGUCCUUGUGUAUUACGUGAGUUUUUUAUACAACUUUUAUGUUUUUGGUUGCUCAGUUUAAAGCAUAUGAAUUUAGUUUAAUUCAUGUAAUUUUAGUAUAUUUUCAUGUCCAAUGUCCUGUUUUAGCCCAAUGUGUUGGUAGGCUUUCAAGUGCAUAAAGUUGAAUGAUGAUGAAAUUUGCAAUGGAGACUAGGUGUAGAUUUUCACUGAACAUGUUGUCGUAAUUCAUACAUAAUUCAAGAUAAAAAGAUUUAAUCAUCAAGAUUCUUGAACCCUAGGAAAGCUAAGAGGAAUACCUAUAGCUUUUAUUAUUGCCAUUGCACCCAAAUCAGCUUUGAGGUAGGAGAAAAUUGUUAGGAAUUUUGAUAAUAUGGUGCCCUGGAAAGCAAGUAUAUUCUCAUGCUUAAAGUCAUUAAAUUUAUUUGUAAUGAAAGUACAUUUUGAUAAUAAGAUGAAGAGUUUGUUUUAUUAAGCAUUCAUUAUCUAGUUAUUAAGGUACCAAGAUUCUAUUGAGAUAUUAAAAUACAUUUUUAUAAAGAGUCAUACAUAGGAGACAUGUAUUUUAAUUGAAUCUAAAAAUUGUUCACAGCCAUAUAAUAAAGCUGGUCACUUUAUUGUGUUAAGGGUGUAGUGUCUAGAUUACUUCUAAUGAAAUGAAUGUGAUUCAUUUCAAGGGAAUGAUGAGUCUUAAAUCAUCAAAAUGGUUGACUUCGAGUAAUGACACUAUAACAUGAAUUGAAAUCAUGUGAGAAUCAAAUUUAAGUUUUACCGUUAUCUGAAUCUUGAUCUCACAUUUAUGCAUUUGCUUAUAGUAGAAUCGAAAUCCUGAUGGAUAGUGGACUCAUGUUUAAUCUCCUUAUAAUUUUUUAUUUACCAUGAGCAUGAUCAUCAUAAAAUGUUGAUCUAGACUCUGUAUUUUGAGAUUAUAAUCGAAAUGAACAUUUGGGAACAUAUAUCCAGAUAAUGGAGUUCAUAGCAUUAACAUCAUUUCUAGUGAUUUCAAGAAGAUUAAUGAUUAAUUUGGGCCCAGUGGAUUGAUGAAUUAGCUACUCAUCACAUCUAGAUACUCAAAAGAUUAGAUCUAGAGUAUUGAAUCACUAAUUGGAUGAAAUUUGAUACUAGGAUACAAAAUUGACAUAAAAGGGUAAAACGGUAAUUUCACCUUUUGCAUUGGAUGGUUAUGAGGGUUCACAAUAUGAGGUUUGCAAUUGGACAACUAAUAAUCAAUAUCAAAUAUUGAAUUGUUUCUUGUAAUUAUAGUUAAUCCAAGAGUGCAACCAUGAAUCUAUGGUGGAGUGAUUUCAUGGUUAAUAAGCUUGAAUUAUUUUUAAUGAGAUUAAGAAUAAUUCUAACUUUAUUGGAGCUUGAAUUAUUUCUAUGUCCUCGAUGAGAUCAGCUAUCUACAGUCUAUACUGAACCUGAAAUGGGUGGAAAGGAGGGUGGUGAGAUUAUAAAAUCCCCAUGAGUAAACAGACAUCAUCAUAAACAUCUAGAGUUGAGUACAUGGAGACAAUAAAGUAAAUCAUCAUAAACUGGGUUAUAGCAUUAGAACACAUUUUGUUCAAAACACGUAAAUAAGCUUAUGAAUCUCAUAAAAAUCUAGGCUUGUGCCAUAAAUCCAUUUUCGGGGACACCUUGGCCGAGGCAUCCUACCGAGACCGCCAAGGUUAUUAAAAUUCACAUUUCUCAUAAAUCAUGUUUUUGUUUUGAAAACAUAGCCGUUCCUUGGUGUUGGUUGAGUUCCCCCUCACAUGGUGGUUUAGCGUGAAGUGAACCCUAAACUUUACCCCAGGAGAUACCCUACGCGCCUCUCCUUUCGAGGUAAGAAUAUAAUGGGGUUUACCGUGCCCCUCUAAAGACUGGUCCACAGAAACCCCCUACUGCAGUGAUUAAUUAAUAUAUAAUCCACCAUAUAAUAAAACUCAAUAACAUGAUAUGGCAAUUUUGGAAUUCGCAAUUUUUCAAGGAAACCAAACAAUUCGCAUUUCAAUACAAUUGCCAACUAGCCAAUCAUGCUCGAUUUAUCAUAAGCCAAUCAAUUUAAACAAUCAAAUUGCCACAAUUAACAGUUCCGUGUACUCUAUUUUUCAAAAUCACUAUUAAUUUCAAAACAAUUUAUAAUUUAAUUUCAUUGAAACUCAUUUAUUCAUAAAACAUGAAAAUUUAUCUUUUUAAAUUCCUUUUUCCAUAGAAUUCAUGAAAGCAUCUAAAAACCACCCUAGAUAAUUAAAAUGACAGUAAGUUUACUCACAAUGUCUAGAAUGCAGACUUUCGAAGCACUCUGUCUACUGGUCCUCGGAUGCAAUUUCCUUGCCUUUAUCGGAGGACUCACCACCUUGACACAGUACAAAAUCGAGAGUUUCACCAAGUUGGUACUAAAUCAAAAUUAAACUAAUUUAGACUACCAAUGCAUGAUAUGGAAUGCAAAAAUGCACUGGUAACUAUCUAAACCCGGUAUUGGCCUAAUUCGUCUUAUCACCCGAUUAAAUUCCUAACGGGUCCGUUUAAACUCCAAUUUAAUUCUUUUCAGUUUCUAUACCUCAAUUGCACCCAAAUUAACUUAAUGUCCCUCAGUGUGGUGCAAAUUAUCAGUCCCAACAGCAAAUUACGAAAAUACCCCUAGUGGGUAAAAAUUCGUAUUUUUGCUCCGAAAAUUCCCAUUAUUUUUCUAGGCUCAUAAUUCAUUAUUCCUUAACCAAUUCUCCUAGAAUAAAAUCAAACUCAUCCUCACUCACUACAUGGUAAAUUCAGCCAUUAAUGGUUGGGGGAGAAAAUAAAUUCUUUUCUUGUUGUUUUGUUUCUAAAUAUGCUAAACUAACUAAAAACACUAACAUAAAUUAAAAUCAAAUAAAUCCAACAACUUUCUCUCUCCUAACCCAUUUUUUCAGAAUUGAAUUCAUCAUGAAAACAUGUAAUUUAAUCAUGGAAAAUAAAGAGAAAUGCUUGGGAAUAAGAAAACUCAAGCUUAAUAGAAAAAACUCACCUUUUUCACUUAAUUUCCUUGAAAAUUCACACUUUUUCUUUGAUUUUCU